Molecule: long non-coding RNA, 52771 nt
Filed under: Durio zibethinus
Lineage: Eukaryota; Viridiplantae; Streptophyta; Magnoliopsida; Malvales; Malvaceae
Description: long non-coding RNA (DZIB_LNC000136)
Source: RNAcentral
GAUCAGCCAACAAAUAUGGAGGGGCCUCGUCUAAGAGAGUGCAGCGCCGCCUACGCCUCCCAUGCUUCUCCGCCACUUCACUCGCUUAAGCCCUCUCGCAGAACGGGCUCAAACCGUUUGUUUGCGGCAGUUUACACGUGUGCCAUCAUAGCUUUGUUCUAUCGCCAUGCACAGAGACUCCUCUACUCCAAAACCCUAGUUUCUUUCUACGUAACUCUAACGUUGUUCAUCUCUGAUCUUAUCCUCGCCUUCAUGUGGGUUAACGGACAGGCUUUCGGCAUGCGUCCGGUUUACCGUAAAGAAUACCCCGAAAACAUAGAAAAGGUCAUGAAAACAAGUGAUUUGCCAGCGUUGGACAUUUUCAUUUGCACGGCGGAUCCAUACAAGGAGCCGCCAAUGAGUGUGGUGAACACAGCCCUAUCGGUAAUGGCCUAUGAUUGAUUAUCCAACGGAGAAGAUUUCGGUCUACGUGUCGGACGAUGGAGGAUCGGCUUUGACUCUCUUUGCUUUCAUGGAAGCUACUAAGUUUGCUGCCCACUGGUUACCUUCCUGUAGGAAGAACGAUAUAGCGGAGAGGAGCCCGGAUGAAUAUUUUGCAUCUAAUCAUUCAAGGAGCUCUUAAACUGGGAAGAUUAAGGUAAACCCUUUCUUAAACCAUCUAACUAAUUAAUUAGCUAAUAGCUAUUGCAAUAUUUACAAUAUUUAUUUAUUAGUGAUUUUUAUUGCAAUUAAAAGUUAAAGUUAUAGAAAUCACCAUGAAGAAAUGAGCCGUUUUCAUGAUAAUUUCAUGCGCAAAGUAUGCAAACAUUUUUUACUGAGCUAACUGAAAAUUAAAUACAAUUUCUCAAAAUUAAGUUUCUUAUCCGUUAUCCAUAUAGCUGUGACAUUAUAUAUAUUAGAUCUUAUAAUUCAUAAAUUUGUAUCAUGUUUACUUAUGUUAAAAAUAAAUAAAAUAUAAAAAUUAUUGUGUUAUAAUUCAUUUUCUAAGAACAAGAUAUAUUUUUUAUUUUUUUAAAAAUUCAUAUAAAUUUUUAUUUUAAAACUUCAAUCUAUAUCAUUUUAAUAUUAUGUAUGUAGUAUUUAAAAUUAUCCAAUUUGAUAUAUCUUAUUAAAAAGUAUUACUAUAUAUAUCAAAAGUUUCUCUCUAAAAUGAUUGAAGGAUAAUUUUUAUCAUUUUGUCAAGUUUCCUAUCUAAUUUUUUUUUUCAAAAAAUUUUUCUUUAUGGCUAGCUGUCCAAUAAACUUUAAUUUAAAUUUAAAUUUAAUUUCCAUUCAGUUCAUUUUCAAAAAAGAUUGAUCUCUGGAUAUACAACCAUGACCAAUGAGUCAUGUUUUCACAAGAAAUACCACUGGUGCAAAAAAUUAGAAAAUAAAGCAUAUAGUUAAACCAGCGGUAUCGAUCGGUUGGGGUUAAUUACAAUCAAGCUAUCAGGUUCUUGAAGUCUAAGCAAUAUUUGAUAUGAUAAGUGUCAUAACGUAUAGAUUCAAAAAUUUAUAGUGAGACUUAACAAGAAGAGUCGCCAUCAAUCUUUGUUAAUUAGGUGUGAUUGGUCACUUAAUGAAUUUAUCUUUUUAAGGAGUUCUACAUUUGACUAAGGGUUCUUAUAGAAUAGGUUUGGGUCUACUAACCAGAACAAGAUUCGAGAAUUCGGUUAUAUAUGGAGAAGGUUAUAGCAUCCUCACAUAUCCAUCUGAAGGAUGGUAUAUUUUAUUUUAAAUUUAUCAUAAAGUCUUGAUUCUAAUGAUUUUAAAUUUUAAUAUUGAAUAUUAAAAAUAACUUUUAAGAUUCUCCAUCAAUCUGGUAGAAUUUUUAAAAAUAUUUUCUCACCUCAAGAAUAUUCAAAAAUCUCAUUUGUUUUCUUGAGGCUCUGUCGUCGAAAAAAAAAAUUAAUUAUUUUUUAUUUUUAUCGAAAAUAUAUCUAAUUAUUUCAUCAUUUGGACCAAAUUAGAAAUAUCUUCUUUUUUAAUUUCUAAAUUUUUCACCAUUUUGGUCUAUUUAGAAAUUUUUUUAAUUUUUUGAAAGAAAAUAAUAUUAUAAUUAUUUUUAUUGAAAUUUCAUUUAAAUUCUUCCACCCAUUUGAGAUAAACUUAAAGAAAUUUCUUACUUAGAGAUUUUUAAAAAAAUUUACCAUUUGAAAUUUCUCAAAAUCUCAUAAUUGGAUAAUUAUCAAAUAUUUUCAACCAAAAAUUUUUAUUUUAACUUAUUAUUAUUAUUUUUCUUUUUUGUUUGAAAAUAAAUAUUAAUUAUUGUUAUUAAAAUUUUAUUUAAAUUAUUCCAUCAUUUGGGAUAAAUUUAGAAAAAAUUUAUCACUUAAAAAAUUUAUAAAGAUUUACCAUUUAAAAUUCCUAAAAAUUUCAUCAUUGGAUAAUUAGUAUUUGUUCUCCAAAAAAAUUUUUUUUUUAAAUUUAAUCAUACAAAAAUACUUAAAAAUUAAAAAAUUAAAAAAAAUACCAAAAUAGAAAAACAACUCGACUCGACUAGAGAACUUGGCUUGGUUGCAAGUAAAAACGGUGGCUCUAGAUACGUGACCUGACAACUCGGCUCACGACUCAGCUCGAAUGAAGUCAAAAACCGAAGGUGAGUUAACCGCAGGUCAAAAGUGGGUUAGUGUUACAAGUCGGGUCACCCAAAUAGAAACACGCAGAUCUUGAGGCCUUUUAAAUGGUAAAACGAUGUCAUUUCAUAACAGUAUAAAAGGUACAAGUUUUUGCUUCUUUUUUUUUUCAGAUUUUUUUCCCCUCUCUCUCUCAUUUUUUUUUAUUUUCUCUUUCUCUCUCUAUAAACCAAAAGAACUUCGGUUGAAUCUUCACCGAAUUUUAAAAAAUUUCAUCGAAAUUUGGGUUGGUUCGUUGAAAGUUUGUUAAAAACUUCAACCUUCGUAGAAAUCUUUAACCAGAUUUUGAAAAACUACUAAAAAAUUCAACCGACAUAAAAAAACUCACCAGAAAAUUCAAUCGACAUCUAAAAAUUCAUCGAAAACUGAAAAAUUUCUAGAAAAUUUUUCAAAAAAAAUCUUUUUUAACCAAAAAAUUUCUCAAAAUUUUUUGACUGCCUUCUAGCUUCCUUUUGUGUGAUUUUUUUUUAUGUUUUUCUGAUUUGUGUUUCUGUAUUCCUCUAUGUUUUUUGUCUAUUCUAUUCCAUUGGAUUCAAUCCUGUAUUUAUAAGGUAUAAUCAGAAGAGUUUCUAAUUAACUAUGAAUCCAUUGUUGAUAAGGUUUCAAUAUUAUCAUAAACAUAAGCUUUAUCCUAUAUAGAUUGAAUCCACCCAUAACUCUACCAGCCCCAACUCACAGCUAAAAUCCUCAUUAUUUUUAUUUUUUAUUUUUUUUUACUACUAUCUUAUUAUCUUAACACCAGGAAAAUUGAAAAUAACUUAGAUAAGAAAAAUCAACAAAAAAUCAAAGACAAAAAUAAAAAACAAAUAAUAAUCAACCAAAAAGAUAAACCCAAAAAUAAAUAAGUAAAUAGAUAAAUAAUAAAUAAAUAAAUAAAACGUACAAUAACUAGUGGACUUGGAAAUCGGACCCUAUUGAACCAGGCCCAAUAGUUUUGGGCUUGAACUAUUAUAGUGUCUAUAGCUAUCCCUCUUUGCAAAGUUUCUGUGUCACAAAAAUUGUGCAAAGACGUAGACAUCCAUCAUAUCCAGAUAAUCAUCCCAACACAUUUUUUUUAAGUUAGACACUUAAACUUAUUGAAUAAUAUGAACUCUUCUAAGCAAGGCUCAUAACUUUUAGAAAAUAAACAAGGUUCCUCUAAAUAGAGGCUUAACGAUUUUGAAAAAUAAAUAAAGCUCAUCUUAUCAGAGGCUCAACUACUUUGAAAAAAUAAAUAAGACUCCUCUAAACAGAGGCUCAACGAUUUUGAAAAAUAAAUAAAGCUUACUUAUUAGAGGCUCAACCACUUUGAAAAAAAUAAAUAAGGCUCCUCUAAAUAGAGGUUCAAUGACUUUUAAAAAAUAAAUAAUGCUCCUCUAAACAGAGGCUCAACGACUUUGAAAAACAAAUGAAGUUCAUCUAAUUAGAAGCUCAAUGAUUUUGAAAAAUAAAUAAAAAACCUCUAAGUAGAGGCUUAACGACUUUGAAAAAUAAAAAAAACUCCUCUAAUCAGAAGUUCAACGACUUUGAAAAAGUAAAUAAAGCUCAUCUAAUCAGAGGCUCAACAACUUUGAAAAAUAAAUAAAGCUUAUCGACAAUCUUUUUCAAAGGAGUUAUAGAUUGUGUCUAAAAAAAUUUUAGGGGAUUAUGCUUGAAGGUCUGACAAAUUAUUCAUAAUACCCUUUUUCAAGGAUCGAAUCUUACCUCAGAAGUCUUUUUUUUUCUUCAAUUGAAAAUUAAAAAUUCUUUCAUUAGAAAGUUUUCAUAUUUAUCUUCUCUUUAGGGAAUCUUGAAAUAUCCUUACUUCAUGCGCUGGACAUUCUCACAUGCAAUGCAUGCUAUACAUUAAACCUUCAGAAAUGCAAUGCAUGUUAUGCAAAUGUCAAUUUCUUUCAAUUGUGAUACUUCAAUUUCUUAAGCUUUUUCUUUGAAUUCUGAGCUCUUCAACCUUCGAACAAAUUGACUUGGUUUUCAAAAGAUUCACAUCCGAAAAAUCUAAAUUCAAAGGUUCUCAUUUGAAAAUUUUAGGGGUUCACAUCUAAAAUUUUGAAGCUUUUCAUUUGAAAACUUUUGGUGACUCACAUCCAAUUCUUUAAAGAUUCAAAUUCAAAAACUUUGGAGAUCUACACAAAUUCUUAAGACUCCCAUUUAAAACUUAAAGACAAAAAUUCUCAUUCAAAGAUUCUUAUUUGAAAACUCAAAGAUUCUCAUUUGAAAUUUAAAAAUUCUCAUUUGAAACUCAAAUAUUCUCAUUUGAAACUCACAAUUUUAUUUUAAGAGCAUUCAUCAAAAGAUUCAAAAUUUCUUUUUUAGAUGACUUUCAAACUUUUAUUAAAGUCAAAAUUAUGUACAUAAUGAAUGUCAUGAUUAAUGAUGCAAAUGUAACAAUCUGAAUUCUCAUAAUAAUGUAGAUGUCAUGCUCUAAGUCAUAAUUCAAAUGUUUACUAAUUGAUGCAUGUCCAAACAAAGUUUUAAAUAUUCUCCAAAUUAUGUGCAUGUAUUGUUCAAAUGACAAUGCAAACAUAAUGCAUGUAACAUAAAUGUCAUGAAAUUCUAAUUAAUUAUGGUAAUAUGGUUCUCAAGACUCAUUCAUUCCAUCUUUUCCCUUUUUAGCUGCUCAUCAUUAGCUAUCCCAAAGUAAAUUUUUUCAACUGAUCCAUAUCAUUUGCAUUAUUUGAUCGCAACUCACAGGUUACUCAGCACUAGCAAUUUCAACAUAAAUUUCAUUCACCGAUCCAUAUCAUUUUCAUCAUUUGAUCACCAUUCAUAGGCUAUUCAGCACUAGCAAUUUUAACAUAAAUUUCGUCUACUAAUCCUCAUCAUUUUCAUCAUUUGAUCAUAAACCCCAAGUUAUAUCAACCAAUCUAUCUCUAUAUUCAUCACUCGAUCACCCCAAACGUCUUUUCAAAUCAUCUUUUCAUUUUUUUACCUCCAUCAUCUAGAUUUCUUUUCAAGAAAAUAUAAGAAUCUUUUAUAAAUAUUAUCAUUCAUUCAUUAUCAUUUCAAUUCUUGACAAAUAUAACACAAUCAAACAUUUUUUUGAUAUAUUUUGAAGAUGCAAGAAUAAGAAAAUACAAGGUAAAUUGAGAGAAGAGUAAUCAAUAAGAAAUGAGUAUAGUAACAAUAAAUGGACAAAGGAACAAAUUCAAAGCAUUUCAUUAGGAUGAAUGGUAUUGAAUGGUACUAUAGUGUCCAAACAAUGAAUACUUAGACAAUUCUUAACAUUAAUCCAAAAUUCUUUUUCAAAAACUCAUUUCCUUGACUUCUAAAAUUAAUUUUGAGUGUGUUGAACUUUACCCUAGCUUUAAAGGAUCUUCAUAUAUUUUUUUAUCUUUUAUAUAUUGAACUGUCUAUCUAACUCUCAGCUCAUAAAUUUUUCUAUCCAAAUCGCACUUUCGAGUUUUCAAUUUGAGUAUUCAUUUUUUCUCUUUUUUCAUCUCAUUUUUUUCUUUGUUUCUCUUUUUUCUUUUUUGUCCAUUAUUGAUAUCUCUUACACAUCAAUCUAAAAUAGCAUGAUUCCAUUAUUUCAUCAUAAGCAUGCCUUUGCUCAAUAUAUGAUCAUUUAAUUCAAGCAUUCAUAUUUAAUCAAAAUAGACUUUUAAAAGUUGUAAUGUAGGCUAUGGUGAAGAGUUAUGAAAGAAAUUGAUAAAAUAGGCUCAAAACACAUGUUUAAAGGGUUUAAAACUAAAAGAUAAUUUCUCAUCAUGUGAUGCAAUUUAGCACUUUGCCUUAUUCCACAUCAUUUCACUAUUUUUUUCUUUUUUUAUUCACCACAUUCCUCACAAAAGGAUUCUCAUUAUUUUGCCUCAACUCAUUUGUGGCAUUUUUUCUCUUUUUUUGCUUUGUUUUGUUUUGUUUUGUUUUUUUACUUUUUAUCUUUGAGACCUUUUACGAUCUUUUAUCUUUUUUUUUUCAAAAAUUAUCCCAGUAUAGAAGGUGAUCCUUGGUUGAGAUUCUUUAAAAGAAAAAUCAUAAUAGGCUUAACAGGGAUAACAAUGGAUGGUUUUAUGGAUGGUAAAAGAAAGACAAUCAUUUUUUAUCUUAAACAUGAAUGCUUUCUUUGAAGAUCAUCUAUUAAACAUAAAUAAGCCCAUAAAUCUUUAUAAAGAUUGCAUAUCUAUUUCACAUCUAUAACAGUUGAUUUUUUUUGCUCAAAUAGUCUUCACAAAUUGAAUUUUAUCAAUGUGAAUGAGUUUUCAAAAUUAAAUCUCAAAAUUAUUGUUAUCAUUAUCUAAACAUUUAUCAUUAAAAUGGGAAUAAAAAGAUAUGAUAAAUAACAAAGCACGGAAUAGCGGUUGGGAUGAAAGAAAAAUGAAAUGAAAUGCAUUAUCCUUAUUUUUUAUUAAAAUGAUAAAAAAAAUAAAAACUUAUUGCAGAAAAGAAUUCCUAACAUUACUUUGAAAGAAAAUCCAAAAUGACAAACAACAUCCAACCUUAUUCUUGAUUUUCAGUUGAAGCAUUUGACCCUCUGAUUUGUUACGGCUUUCCAAGUUUUUUCAGAUCACACUUAUUCUUGAUUUUCAGUUGAAGCAUUAACAUUGUGAUUAGGCAAUGGAUUGCCACUGAUAUUAGGCGCUAUUAUCCUUUUUGUAUCAAAGUUUAUCAUUCCAUCCUCGAUCAAAUGUUGCACUUUAUACUUUAGAGCAAUGUAAUUUUUAAUGGAAUAAUAAGCAAUUUCAUAGUGGUAGUCACAGUGAACUAUAAGAUCAUACCACUUGGGAUAAGGUAGCUUAAACAGCUUCAAACGACUAUGGCAAUCAAGUGAUUGUUAUAGAGCUCUUAGUAUAAUUUCGUAUAAGUAAUAGAGAUUGGGUCAAAUAUGAGUUUUUUUUUGGGUAGUUCAUUGCUCUUGUGAACCACUUAUUGUGUUAGCAAAAUAAAUCUGAGAUCUUGCAAAAGGUUGAAUGUUAAAGUUGUAUAUGAGAGUUUAGGGGCUAAAGAUGGGCUAAUAUGUUUAUGGAUAAGAUGGUUGUAAAGAAUGCUGAUAUGGGUGAGGUAAGGUGUUGUUCAUAGUAAGAUACUAUAGAGAAUAAUCUUGUGGUGGAUAUGAUUGGUAUCCCCUGAACUGUCUAUCAAAGUUCACAUUUAAACUUUAGUCUCUUUCUUUUUUAGCACAUUCUUAAUUUUCCCUCAUUCUACCUUGUCAUUUUUAAUGACAUUCUCAAUGAUUUCGUUUGAUAUCAUCAUAUCGAUGAAAUUCUUUGUUACAUUUUCUAUCAUAUUUUUAUAAUAGGGUAGUUUUAAAGUGCUGACAAACAAUACUAUGAUCUUUUUUUCAGUCAGAAGAGGCUACACUUGAGUAGCUAUGUCCCUUCACCUUUGGGCAUAUUUCUUGAAUGAUUCAAUCACUUUUUUUCAUAUUUUGUAAAUAUAGAUGAUCAGGGGCUAACUCUAUGAUAUACCGAUACUGACUGAUAAAGUCACGGCUAUAUCACUUUAAGACUGAAUACAGGUCUUGUCUAGCUAGACAUACCAUCUAGCAGUAGAGUCAAUAAGGCUGUCUUGAAAUACAUGCAUUAACAACUUCUCAUUAUUAGCAUUGGCAGUCAUCUUUCAGCAAUACAUGAUGAUAUAAAUCUUUAGGCAUUUUGUACCAUCAUAUUUUUCAAACUUCAAAACCUUAAACUUUAGAGGAAUAAUGACAUCUAUGACUAAAUAGAGCUCAGCAACAUCUACAGAUCCAUAAAAACUAAUUCUCUCUAUGGCUCGUAACCUUUUCUCUAAUAAGUUCAUCUUCUGUUCAGCUUUUAAGCCUUCUAAAGUAUCUUUUUCCUAAAGCUUUAGCUUCUAUUUCUCUUUUGGAUUAUCUAAAUUAAGGAUUAAUACUGGUUUUACUACAUUCUCAUUAAAGAUAAGAUUUACAUAACUCUGGCACUAUCUUGAGUUUGAAGCUAAUGAAAUUUUAAGAUAUGUAUACCCUACAAGAUAUGUGAACUAUUGUGGUAGUGGGUCUUAUAUGAAUUAGGCUUGAUACGACCUAACACUAAAAAGGUACAGAGGGUCAUCCAUUUUUUGUAAUGGAUAGUCUUGCUGGCUAGUAUUUUUUUCUAUUCCUUUCUUUUUUUUUAACUUAUUCAAAGCAUCCAAAAUCUUAUUCAACUUCCCUUCUAGCUUCUCUUGAGCUUUCUUUAUCCUCUCAAGAUGAUUAAAAUUUUUUUUGUUCCAUUUGUCUUGUUCGAGCUUUUAUAUUAUAUUGGUGACUUGAUUGUGUGAGAUUUUUUAUUGCUAGAGCUAUCAUUGAACCUUGUGUCAUAACGUCUAGAUCCAGGGAUCUAUCGCUAGACAUUACCUUUUAGGAGUCGCCACCAAUCUUUUUUAUCUAGGUACGAUUGGCCACCUAAAAAAUCUGUCCUUUUAGGGAACACCUAAGUUUAAGAGUCCCUAAAAGAAUAUGUUUAGGUUUGCUAACCAGAACAGGGUUUGAGAGUUCGGUUACGUGUGAGGAAGGUUAUAGCACCCUCACAACGGCCAUCAAAAGAUGAUACCAACUUAAAUUUGUGUUAUCCAAUGGGCCUUAAAAUUUUACCAAGUAAUUAAUUAUUGAAAAUUAUUCUCAAUUGACUCUAAUACUUUUAGCAAAAAAUUAAAAAAAUUCCCUCACCUCAGGAGUAUGCAAGAAAACUAUUGUUUCAUUUACAGAGGCUCCAUCGUCAGAUUAUUUAUCAUAAAAAAAAAAAAGAAAAGAAUGAUUGUUCUUGUGCAGGAAAAAUUGAUACUUUCAACUUUUUCUCAAAAAUAUUCUUUUAAAACUUUAAUUUCGAGGAAAAUUGAUACUUUCAACUUUUCCUAAAAAAUUUAUUUUUUUGAAAAUUUAUUUUUAAGAAAAAUUGAUACUUUCAAUUUUUUCCCAAAAAUAUUUUUUUUGAAAUUUUUAUUUUCAAAGAAAAUUGAUACUUUCAACUUUUCCUCAAAAACCUUUUUUGAAAAUUUAUUUUUAAGGAAAAUUGAUACUUUCAACUUUUCCCGAAAAUAUUUUUUUGAAACUUUAAUUUUCGAGGAAAAUUGAUACUUUCAACUUUUUCUCAAAAACCCUUUUUUUGAAAAUUUAUUUUUAAGGAAAAUUGAUACUUUCAACUUUUCUCCAAAAACAUUUUUUUGAAACUUUGAUUUUCGAGGAAAAUUGAUACUUUCAACUUUUCCUCAAAAAAAACCUUUUUUUUCUAAAAUUUAUUUUUAAAGAAAAUUGAUACUUUCAACUUUUUCCCAAAAAUAUUUUUUGAAAACUUUGAUUUUCGAUAAAAAUUGAUAAUUUCAACUUUUCUUCAAAAAACCUUUUUUUGAAAAUUUAUUUUUAAGGAAAAUUGAUACUUUCAACUUUUCCCCAAAAAUAUAUAUUUUUUAUUUUAUUUAAAGAAAAUAACAAAAUAAAAAUGAAAAAAAAAGUAAAAUAAAAAUAAAAAUAAAAUAAAGAUAAAAGAAUAUUAAAUAAACCUAAUCUAAUAAUAAAAAAACAAAUAAAUAAAUAAAUAAAUUAAAUAAUUAAUUCAAAAAAAAAAAAACUUGGAGCGGCUUGGAGAACGGCUCGACUCGGCUCGGCUUAAGGAAGAAAAACGGCUCAGAGAAGAGGCUCGACUAACGGCUCGAAGAGGCAGAACACGCACAGGUCGAAAAACGGAUCGACGCUCGGGUCGGGUCGAAUCUUGACAAAACACACGGAUUCCUCUGAUUAUUUACCGCAAACGACGCGUCUUUGGAAGGGUAUAAGUAAGGCUGUUUCCUUUGGUUUUUUGCAUAGAAACCUUCUUACCUCUCUCUCUUUUCUUUUCUUUUCUCUCCCUUCUCUCUAAAACGCCCGAUGAACUCCAGUUGAAUAUUCACCAGAUUCUGAAAUUUUUUCUCGGAAUCUGAGUUUUUCGUCGAAAGUUCAUCGAAAAGUUGAUCGAUUUCUGAGAAUCUUCACUAGAAACUAGGCAGCUGAUCGAAAACUUUAAACUUGGUCAAAAUUGUCGUCGAAAAAUUCAACGUCCAUCGAAAAAGUCACCGAAAUCUAGAAAUUUUCUAGAAAUUUCUAGAAAAAAAUUUCGUAAAAAAUCUCCAAAAUUUUUUUUCGAUUCCUACAGCUGUUCUAACACUUCUAAACCUUUUUUUAGCCUUCAAAAAUCUUUUAUAUGCCCUUUUCUCUCAACCAGUAGCUUCUUUCCUCACUGUUUUUUGUCUCUGUGUUCUGUUCUUGAGGAUCCUUUUUAUAGGGAUUGAUCAGAAGAGUUUCUGAUCAAUCCCAAUUCCUCUUUGGAUCGGGAUUCAAUCAUUGAAUCCAACAUAGACUCUUUUGAUUGAAUCCCAAUCUAAUUUCCAGUCGGAUAAAUAAAAAAAAUAAAAAAAUUAAAUAAAAAUAAAUCAGAUAAAUAAAAAAAAUUAACAGAUAAAUUAAAAUUAAAUAACAGAUAAAUUAUAAUAUAUAAUAUGAUAUACCUAUUGUCGUAACGUCUAGAUCCGGGGAUCCAUCGCUAGACAUUGACUUUCAGGGAGUCGCCACCAAUCUUUUUUUUAUCUAGGUGCGAUUGGCCACCUAAGGAAUCUGUCCUUUUAGGGAACACCUAAGCUUAAGGGUCCCUAAAAGAAUAGGUUCGGGUCUGCUUAACCAGAACAGAGUUCGGGAGUUCGGUUACGUGUGAGGAAGGUUAUAGCACCCUCACAACGCCCAUCAAAAGAUGGUACCAGCUUAAAUUUGUAUUAUCCAAAAGCCUUAAAAUUUUACCAAGUAAUUAGUUGUUGGAAAUGAUUCUCAAUUGACUCUAAUACUUUUAGCAGAAAAUUGAGAAAAUUCCCUCACCUCAGGAGUAUGCAAGAAAAACUACUGUUUCACUUGCAGGGGCUCCGUCGUCGGAUUUAUUAAAGAAAAAUCAAAAUCAUCCAAUUAAUUAUUGGAAAUUAUUCUCAAUUAACUCUAAUACUUUUAGCAGAAAAUUGAGAAAAUUCCCUCACCUCAAGAGUAUACAAGAAAAACUACUGUUUCACUUGCAGAGGCUCCGUCGUCGGAUUAAUUAAAGAAAAAAAUCAAAAUCAGCCAAGUAAUUAAUUAUCGAAAAUUAUUCUCAAUUGACUCUAAUACUUUUAGCAGAAAAUUGAGAAAAUUCCCUCACCUCAGGAGUAUGCAAGAAAAACUACUGUUUUUACUUGUAGAGGCUCCGUCGUCGGAUUAAUUAAAGAAAAAAGAAAAAAAAAAUCAAGAUCAAAAUCAAAGUCAAAUAAAAAAUUCAAAAAAAAAAAAAAAAAAAAAAAAAAAAAAAAACCUGGAGCGGCUCGGCUAUCGGCUCGGCUCGGCUCGGCUCAAGGAAGAAAAAAAACGGCUCGGAGGAGCGGCUUGGAAGCUCGGCUCGGCUCGGCUUGGCUCGGAGGGAGGCUGGCACGCGCGGGUCAGAAGCGGGUCGACGCUCGGGUCGGGUCGGGUCACGGCAAAACGCGCGGAUCCUCUGGUUACUUAAGGCCAAAACGACGUCGUUUUUGGAGGGUAUUUAAGGCACUCUCCUCUGUUUUUCGGCAGAACGCUCCUCCCCUCUCUCUCUCUUCCUUCCCUUUUCUCUCCCUUCUCUCUAGAAAACCGAAGAACACCGGUGCCGGAUUCUGGAAAUGUCGCCGGAAUCUGGAAUUUUUGCCGGAAUAUGGCCGGAAUCUUCGCCGGUUUCUGGGAAUCUUGCCGGAAACUGGGUUGGUCACCGGAAUCUUCAAGUUUCGCCGGAAUUUGUGCCGGAAAAUUCAAAUGUCGCCGGAAUUGUCGCCGGAAUCUGAAAAUUUCCCAGAAAUUUCCAGAAAAAAUUUUCGCAAAAAAUUUCUAAAAAAUUUUUUCAGAUCCCUACAGCUAUCCUAACACUUCUCGACCUUCUUUAGCCUUCGAAAACUCUUUUAAACACUUUUUUUCUCUCAAAUUCAGUAGCUUUGCUCACUGUUUUUUUCUCCUCUUGAACUGUUCCAGGAGGUGCUUUAUAUAGGGAUUGAUCAGGAGUUUCUGAUCAAUCCCAACUCCUCCUUGGACGGGGAUUCAGUCUUUGAAUCCAAUUGGACUCUUUAGAUUGAAUCCCCACUCCCAGUAGGAUUCUUCAGCUUUAAUCUCAACCUUCCAAAAAAAAUCAAAUAAAUAUAAAAAAAUAAUAGAUAAUUAGAACAGAUAAAUAAAAAGAUAUUAUAAAAAAAAAAAAUUUGAUAAUCAGAAAAAAUCAGAACAGAUAAUUUAAAAAAAGAUAACAAUAAAUAAGAUAAACCCAAAAAUAUCUUACAAAAAUAAUAAUAAUAAUAAUAAUAAUAAAUAUAUAACUAUAUAAAUAAUAUACAUAUAAAUCUAAUCUAAAUAAAUAAAUACAGAUAUACAUAUAUUAAUAAUAAUAAAUAUAAAAAUACAAAAGAAAAGAAAAAAAAGGAAAAAAAAAUAAUAAUAAUACAUGAUUGAAUUGGGCCUUACCCAUUUGGCCAGGCCCAAAUGAUCUGGGUCAGGCCCAAUUGAUCCGGGUCAGGCCAAUUGAUCCGGGCCCGGACUGAUUGGGUGUCUACACUAUAAAUAUUAAUAGAAAAAGAAAAAGAAAAAAAGAAAAGAAAAAAAAAUAAAAUAUAUAUAUUAAUAAAUAGUAAUGAUCAAUAAAUAAAUAAUAAAUACCUAAGAUAAAAGAAAUAUAUAUAUAAAUAAUAAUAAAAAAUAAAAAUAAAAUAAAAAUAAAAUAAAAUACAAAUGUAAAAUACAAAAAAAAAAUAAAAAGAAAAAUAGAAAGAAAAUAGACGCACCUAUUUGGACCAGGCCCAAUUGAUCCGGGCCUGGACCAAAUUGGAUGUCUACAGCUGUCCCUCUUUGCACAUUUUCUGUGAAAUAGAAAUUGCGUAAAGACGUAGACACCCAAUCAAGACUCAACUCGACAUUUCUAUUUUUUGUUUUUUUGCUUUUUUUUUUUGUUUUCGACCGAAGCUCCUCUAAGCAGAGGCUCAAUGAGUUUGAGAAACAUAAAUGGCUCCUCUAAUCCGAGGCUCAACAACUUUGGAAAAUAAAUUGCUCCUCUAAACAGAGGCACCACAACUUUGAAAAAGUAAAUUGCUCCUCUAAACAGAGGCACCACGACUUUGGAAAGUAAAUUGCUCAUUGACAAUCAUGUCCAAAGGAGUUGAAAGUUGUGUUUGAAAGAAUUUCAGGAGAUUAUGCCCAAAGGUCUUAUAAAUCAACCCUGAUACCAAAAGACAUCCUAUUUCAAGGAUUAAGAACUUACCUGACAAGCUUUUUUUUCAAUUUUGAAAAUGUCUUCACAUCUAUCUUCUCUAUGUUGGAUCUUGAAACAUCCCUACUUCUUGAAUUUAUACAUUAUACUUUCUUGAAAGUAGUGUAUGCUAUGCAAUGCAUAUGAAUUUCAAUGCAUGCUAUGCAAAUGUUGGCCAAUUAAUUCCUAUUCAAUGUAUGGUACUCAAGUUUCUCAAGCUCUUUUCUUAGACAUCAAGCCCUUUGAUUCUUCAAAGAUUCAAUUACACUGCUCUUCUAAGAUCGAGCCAGUGUAGCUCUUAAUUGUCUUUUCCACUCACAUUCUUCCUGUAAGAAAUCUUUUCCCAGAUUCAAUGUCCUAAUCAGGAACUGAACAUCUUGAUUAUGCCUUUAUCACUCUUAACUUAUUCAAUGUAAUGUAAAAAUCUUUCAUGUUGUUAUUCAUUCAUCAAUCAUUAUUUUAAACUCAAAAAGUAAGAAUGCAUUUGCACAUUUCUUCCAUGGUGGGGUAUUAGGAAGAAAGGAAUAUGAAUGGUUGAUAAACAGUCAUCAAAAAAAGGCACAAAAAAUGAAAUAAAAUAUUUUUUAUUAGCAAAAUGUUGGCAAACUUUGGCCAAGAAGAAUUACAAGGAUAAGUGUGGAGACAAGUCAAAAAAUGAACAAUCGGAUGAUUAUGAUAACAUAUCUCAAGGUUUCUCUGAAAACCCAACAUUUUUAUGUAUUUAACAACUUGGAACUUUUUCGAAUUUGCUAGCCUCCACGUCAGCGGACUUUCAAAUUCGAUGCUGUAUUCUCCUUAUCUAAGCUGCCUUUUUAGGUUUUCAACUUAGACAAACCCCCUAUGACUCAAACCGCCCUUUUAGGGUUUUCGCCUUGAGUCCUCUUUUUUCAUUCACUUUUUUUUUUCAUUUUCAUUUUUUAUUUUUUUAUUUUUUUCAUUUUUUUCAAGCAUGGUAUUUCUUCACAGCAUCGAAAUUUAUAAGAUGGGGUAAAUCAUUUCCAUCCAUCUCAAUCAGUAUUAGUGCUCCACCUAAAAAAGCCUGUUUCACUACAUACAGCCUUCUCAAUUCGGAGUCCAUUUUUCUCUACUAUUGUGCUAGAUUGAGAGAAUUCUUUUCAAGACCAACUCUCUUUCUCCAAAGCAACGGAGUCGAAUCUUCUUAUCAUGAGCCCUCAUCAUUCUUUUUUGAUAUAGCUGACUAUGGUACAGUGCAGUUAAUCUUUUUUCUUCUAUGAAAUUUAACUGCUCAUAACGUUCUCGAAUCCAUUCAGCUUCUUUCAACUCAACUUUUUUUAGAACUCUCAAGGAGGGGAUUUGUACUUUCACUGGUAGUACAGCUUCCAUCUCAUAAACUAAAGAAAAUGGGGUUGCCCUAGUAGAGGUGCGAAUUGACGUUUGAUAUGCAUGUAAUGCAAAUAACAACUUCUCAUGCCAAUCUUUAUAAGUCUCAGUCAUCUUCUCCAAAAUCUUUUUUAUGUUCUUAUUGGUUGCCUCAACUGCCCCAUUCAUUUUCGAACGGUAUGGUACCGAGUUAUGAUGCUUGAUCUUGUAUUGAGUAUAUAUUUCUUGCAUCAUUUUACUAUUUAAAUUCUUGGCAUUAUCUAAAAUAAUUCUCUCUAAAAGUCUAUAUUUACAGAUGAUCUCUUUUUUUAUGAACUUGUAAACCAUAGAGCGUAUCACACUUGUAUAUGAUGUUGCCUCUACCCAUUUUGUAAAGUAAUCUAUCAUCACAAAAAUGAAUUUGUGCCCCGUUAGAAGCCUUUGGGGUGAUUGCACCAAUGACAUCCAUGCCCCAUAUUGAGAAUAAACAUGGUGGUGCCAUAACAUGUAAAGCAGAUGGUGGAGCAUGGAUCUUAUCAGCAUAUAUCUGGCAUUUAUGACAUUUACGAGCAUAAUCAAUGCAAUCAUUCUUCAUCAUCAACCAGUAAUAUCUUGCUCUCAUGAUCUGUUUUGUCAUCAUAUGUCCACUAGUAUGUGCCUCACAUAUUUCAUCAUGCACCUCUUCAAUGAUUCAUUUCACUCUAAUCUUAUUUACACACUUCAAUAAUACUUAAUCCCUGUUUCUUUUGUACAGGACAUCCCCAUCCAGAAAAAAGCUCAUAGCCAAUCUUCGGAUGACCCUUUUAUCAUUUUUUGUUGCUUGCACUAGGUACUGUUGAUCCUUAAUAUACUGUAGGAUAUCAUAAUACCAGGGCUUUCUAUCUUUUUCUUCCUCUAUAUUAGAGUAAUAAGUUGGUAUAUCCUUAACAUCUAACUUGAUGGGCUGAAUGUCGGUAUUAUCAUUAAUUCAAAUCAUUACAGCUAGAGUAACCAAUGCGUCAGCAAUCAAAUUCUCUUCUCGAGGUAAGUGGUCAAACUGGAUAUCUUCAAAUUAUUUCAUCAACUCUAGAAUAUACUUAUGAUAUGAAACAUGUUUUGAAUCUCUUAUCCCCAUUCUUCUUUUAACUGAUAUAUAACUAAAGCUGAGUCUCUAAAUACUUUUAGUACUUUCACUCUUUUAUCUAUAGUAGCUUGUAAGCCCAUGACACAUGCCUUAUAUUCAACGAUAUUAUUUGUGUAAUUAAAAUUUAACCCUACUGUUACAUGGUAGUAUUGUUCUUCUGGAGAGAUCAGAAUUACCCCAAUUCUAUGCCCCAAGGCAUUAGCAGCUCCAUCAAAGUACAUUCUCUAAUAUUUUUCUCCAUGCUCCUCUUCUUUCAGUUGAGAAAUAGUUAUUAAGUCUUCAUCAAGAAAUUCUAGCUUCAUUGGCUCAUACUCUUCAGUAGCACGAUCUGUAAAAAAUUUUACUAUAACACUUUUUUUAUUGCUUUUUGGCUCACGGAUAUAAUAUCAUAUUUCGAGAGCAUUACUUGCUAUCUAGCGAUUCUCUCAGACAAAGAAGGCUUAUCGAAGAUAUACUUAAUAGGAUCCAGUUCGCUAUGAGCCACGUAGUAUGAUAGAGCAUAUACUGUCUGAGUCUUUUGGCAAUCCACGCUAAUGCAUAACAUAUUUUCUCUAAUGAAGAAUACUUGGAUUCAUAUUCCAUAAACUUUUUACUCAGAUAGGAAAUAGCUCUCUCAUUUCGGCUAGCCUCGUCUUGCUGCCUCAGCAGACAUCCCAUUGAAUUUUUAUAUACAAUUAAGUAUAAAAUUAAAGGUUUUCCUAAAAUAGUGGCACCAAUACUGGAGGGUUCGAUAAAUAUUGCUUAAUUUUAUCAAAUGCCUCUUGACAUUCUUCAUUUCAUUUCCUAGGAUUAUUCUUACGAAGAAGCUUAAAUAUAGGAUCACAUUUAUAAAUAAGCUGAGAGAUAAACUAAGAAAUGUAGUUCAAUCUCCCCAGAAAACCUCGAACUUUCUUUAGCGUACUAGAGGUGACAGAUUUUGAAUGGCCCGUAUCUUAUCCGGAUCGACUUCAAUUCCUCUUUCACUGACCACAAAGCCUAGCAACUUCCCUGACUUUACCCCAAAGGUGCACUUGGCUGGGUUUAAUUUGAGCUGAAAUUUUUUUAACCUUUCAAAUAACUUUCUGAGGCUAGUGACAUGAUCUUCAUCCUCACAUGAUUUUGCAAUCAUAUCGUCUACAUACACCUCGAUCUUUUUGUGCACCAUGUCAUGGAAGAGUGUUACCAUGGCCCUUUGAUAUGUUACCCCAUCAUUCUUUAACCUAAAAGGCAUGACUUUGUAACAAAAAAUUAUCCACAGAGUCAUAAAAGUAGUAUUUUCCAUAUCAUCUAUAGCUAUUUUUAUCUGAUUAUAUCCUGAGAAACCAUCCAUAAAGGAGAAAAUCGAAUGCUUAGCCGAGUUAUCUACCAGUGUGUCGAAAUGAGGCAAAGGAAAGUUAUCCUUUGGGCUAGCCUUAUUCAUGUCCCGAUAGUUUACACACAUUCGUACUUUUCUAUCUUUCUUAGGCACUGGGACUAUAUUGGCUACCCACUCUGGAUACUUAGCCACUUGUAGAAAAUCUGUAUCAAAUUAUUUAUUUACCUCUUCUUUAAUCUUUAGUAGCAUUUCGAGCUUCAUCCGUCUCAGUUUCUGCUGAACUAGCUUACAUUCUGACUUUAGGGGUAAUUUAUGCUCCAUUAUCUCUGUGCUCAGUCCUGACAUAUCCUGAUAAGACCAAGCAAAUAUAUCUAUAAAUUCUUGAAAUAGGUCUGCCAAUCGUUGCCUAUCUCCUGAUGAAAGUGAAGUGCCCAUUCUGACCUCUUUCUUAUUCUCUUCAUCUCUCAAUUCAUUAAGUUCACUACUUCCUAAUGAGGCUCAAUUGGCUUAUUUUCUUGUUCAAUCAAUCUCAUUAGGUCCGGAGGCAUAACAUAUUCUUCAGAAUUCUCUUCAUUGUCAAGUUCAUCAGUGUUAAUUGAAUUCUCAAAGUUAACCUCUUGAUUGUUAUCAUGAUUAUCUUCAUGUUCAUUUAAAGACCUGAAAUUGAAUGAAAUGAGAUAUGUUGGUAAGAUGUGCUUGAAAAGAUGGAAAUAAUGAAGACACAAAAAGAAAUGAAUGAAAAUACAUCCUUCAUAUUUUUAUUAAAAAUAAUAAAUGAUGAAUGGCCCAAACAAGAAAGAUCACCCUAAUGCCUUGGGCAAUAGCUAUUGAGAUAUUACAAUUACAUUGUAUUAGUAUCAAAAGUCAUAGGCAUCUCGAUGGCACUCCAAUUAUUCAGCUCAUAAUCCGACAGACAAAGGUGAACCCAUUCCUCUUGAUUAAGCCCCUCCUCAUUUUCACUUAUAGCAUUCACAUUAUGAUUUGGUAAGGGAUUGCCACUAACAUUCGGUACAGUCACCCCUCCCAUAUCAAAGUAAAUCAUUUCAUCCUUGAUCAACCGUUACACUUUAUGUUUCAGGGUGGUGUAAUUUUUGAUGGAAUGACCAACAAUCCCAUAAUGGUAGUCACAGUGGGCUGUAAGAUCGUACCACUUGGGGUAAGGUGGCUUGAGGGGGUUCCAAUUUACUUAGAGCAAUCAAAUGACUGUUGUAAAGCUCCUUAUAUAAUUCUGUAUAAGUCAUUGGAAUCGAGUCAAAUACAGGUUUCUCGUGGGUAGUUUGUUGCUCUCGUGAACCAUUAAUGGGGUUAGUUGGGCGAUUUUGAGGUCUUGGGGUAGGCUGAUUGUUAGGACUAUACAUGGUAUUUUGAGGCCUAUGAGGGGUUUGAUAUGUUUGGAGGUAUGGUGAUUGUACAAAUGGUUGGUAUAGGUGAAGAGAAGUGUUAUUUACAGUAGGCUAAUAUGUAGAUAUUUCGGUGGUGAGUAGGGUGGAUAACCUCCAAAUUGCUGUCUAUCAAAGCUCACAGCCUGAGCUUUAAUUUCUUUCUUCUUCGGGGCUCUCUUGCUAGAUGCUUCAUUUUCUUUUAGCUUGUCAUUCUUGAUGGCACUCUCAAUAAUUUCUCUCGAAAUCACCAUAUCAGUAAAGUUUUUCGUUGCAUUCCCUAUCAUCUUAUCAUAAUAGAGAGGUUUUAAAGUACUAACAAAUAACACUGUAGUCUUUUUUCUGGUCAGAGAAGGUUGUACCUGAGAAGCAAUAUCCUUCCACCUUUGGGCAUACUCUUUAAAAGACUCAUUUGUCUUUUUUUCUAGAUUCUGUAAAGAUAAACAAUCAGGGGCCAAAUCGAUAAUAUAUCGAUAUUGACCGAUGAAGUCAUGUGCCAUAUCGCUCCAAGAGUGAAUGCGAGUUCUAUCCCUAUGAACAUACCACAUGACGGCAGAGCCUGUAAGGCUAUCCUGAAAGACAUACAUUAAUAAUUUUUUAUCAUGAGCAUGAGCUACCAUCUUCCGGUAAUACAUGGUGAUGUGAGUUUUGGGGUACUUCAUACCGUCAUAUCUUUCAAAUUUUGGUACUUUGAACUUAUGAAGAAUGACCACAUCAGGGACUAAGCAGAGCCCAGCAGCAUCAACUGACCCAUAAAAACUAAAUCCUUUUACAGCCUGUAGCCUUUGCUCUAGCAUGCUAAUCUUAGAGCUUUCUUGAGUUUUCACUCUUAUCUUUUCUUUCUCAUUCUCUUUUAAAUCAUCUAGAUCAAGAAUUGGUUCUACUGUCUUUUCAGUAAAGACAGGAUUUACAUAGCUAUUAUAAUGCCCUAGGUUGGAAGCUGAUGGUAUUUCAGGGUAUGUUGGAUAUGUGAAGUGCUGCGGUGGAACCUCUUGAGCAGACUGGGUUUGAGGGGGGCCAAAACUUGGAGGAUACAAAGGGUCAACCACGUUUUGUAAUAAGGGAACUUGUUGGUUUGUAUUUUCUUCAACUCUUUUUCCCUUAUUCAGCUUAUUGAGAGCAUCCAAAAUUUUAUUCAAUUCACUUUUCAUCUUUUCCUGUGCUUUUUCUAUCUUUUCAAAUCUGUGAGAAUUUUUUUGCUCUAUUUGUCUGGCUCUGGAUCUUGUGUUGUAUCGAUGGGCAGGGUUUUCGCUUGAUGAAGCUAUUCUUGAACCUUGAGUACCAUAUCUUAGAAUUAGUAAUGUUAUGCGAUGCUUUAUGUAUGAUGCUUUGAUGUACGAAUAAAAUGUAUAUUUUCCUGAAUGAAAUCUAAUAUGAAAUGGAUGCAAAUGAUUAUGUUAAAAUACGAUCAUGAAAGUAAUGCAGAUGCAUAAAAUCAGACAAACAACAUAGUUAGUUUCAUGGAUGAAAUGAAAGUGAUGUUGAUGCAUAAUGUUACAUAUGAUAAUGAAAAUGAUGCACAAAGUUAAACAAUCAAAAUGAUUAGAUAAACACAUUUUUUGUGUCUUAAUUUCAGGGUAUAUCUAUCAUUGGGUAGAAAGGGCUUUUAUCCUAGGUUUAAGCACUUUUAAAGUUUACUAUAUGCGGUUUUAAGGUCAAAGUCUAAAGGUUCUCAAAUUGCUCCUUACAUCAUUGUCCAUCACAGACUAGUAAGGUACCCUAAUCCUCACCCAUUACAGGCUACAAGCGAAAAAAGUUCAAUUUGAGUGAGAGUAUUUCGCUAGCCAUUACGGAGGUAUUAGACCUCACGAAAGCAAUAGGUACUUUACUCCUUCCUAGAGGGAUGGAGCUCGGGUGUAGAGCUCGGGUGUAGAGCUCAUGUUAUGUACAUGCAUAUGAAUGACAUAAUUAAUAAAAUAAAUAAACAUGAAUGAAUAAUAACACAUAUAUACAAAAAAGUUCAAUUUUAUUAGGCUUUUGGAUAACACAGACUAUUUGCAUACUUGACUUUCAAAGUCUCCAGUGGAGUCGUCAAGCUGUCAUAACGUCUAGAUCCGGAGAUCUAUCGCUAGACAUUGCCUUUUAGGAGUCGCCACCAAUCUUUUUUAUCUAGGUGCGAUUGGCCACCUAAGAAAUCUAUUCUUUCAGGGAACACCUAAGUUUAAGGGUCCCUAAAAGAAUAGGUUCAAGUCUGCUAACCAGAAUAGGGUUCAAGAGUUCGGUUACGUGUGAGGAAGGUUAUAGCACCCUCACAACGCCCAUCAAAAGAUGGUACUAGCUUAAAUUUAUGUUAUCCAAUGGGUCUUAAAAUUUUACCAAAUAAUUAAUUAUUGAAAAUUAUUCUUAAUUCACUCUAAUACUUUUAGCAGAAAAUUAAAAAAAUUCCCUCACCUCAGGAGUAUGCAAGAAAAUUACUAUUUCACUUGCAGAGGCUCCAUCGUCGGAUUAUUUAGCAUAAAAAAAUAAAAAAAAAAGAAAAGAAGAAAAGAAUGAUUGUUCUUGUGCAAGAAAAAUUGAUACUUUCAACUUUUUCUCAAAAAUAUUCUUUUGAAACUUUAAUUUCGAGGAAAAUUGAUACUUUCAACUUUUCCUAAAAAAUUUAUUUUUUUGAAAAUUUAUUUUUAAGGAAAAUUGAUACUUUCAAUUUUUUCCCAAAAAUAUUUUUUGGAAACUUUUAUUUUCGAGGAAAAUUGAUACUUUCAACUUUUCCUCAAAAACGUUUUUUGAAAAUUUAUUUUUAAGGAAAAUUGAUACUUUCAACUUUUCCCAAAAAUUUUUGUUUGAAACUUUGAUUUUCGAGAAAAAUUGAUACUUUCAACUUUUCCUGAAAAUAUUUUUUUAAAACUUUGAUUUUUGAGAAAAAUUGAUACUUUCAAAUUUUUCUCAAAAACCUUUUUUUUGAAAAUUUAUUUUUAAGGAAAAUUGAUACUUUUAACUUUUCCCCAAAAAUAUUUUUUUUGAAACUUUGAUUUUUGAGGAAAAUUGAUACUUUCAACUUUUCCUAAAAAAAACCUUUUUUUUUUGAAAAUUUAUUUUUAAGGAAAAUUGAUACUUUCAACUUUUCCCCAAAAAUAUUUUUUUUUAUUUUGUUUAAAGAAAAUAACAAAAUAAAAGUGAAAAUAAAAAAAUAAAAAAUAAAAAAAGUAAAACAAAAAUAAAAAUAAAAUAAAGAUAAAAGAAUAUUAAAUAAACCUAAUCUAAUAAUAAAAAACAAAUAAAUAAAUAAAUUAAAUAAUUAAUUAAAAAAAAAACAUGGAGCGGCUCGGAGAACGGCUCGACUUGCCUCAGCUCAAGGAAGAAAAACGGCUCGAAAAAGUGGCUCGGGAAGUUGGGCUCGGCUCGGCUAACGACUUAGGGAGGUAGAACACACGCGGGUCGACACUCGGGUCGGAUCGGAUCUUGGCAAAAUACGCGAAUCUUCUGGGUUAUGUAACGCAAAAACGACGUCGUUUUGAAAGGGUAUAUAAGGCUAUUUCCUUCGUUUUUCGACAGAAACCUUCUCUCCUCUCUCUCUCUUUCUUCCAUUUCUCUCAUUUCCUAAUGAAAAAUAAAAUUUUGAUAUUCAGAUAAAGAUAAUAAUCAAACAAAAGAUUUCAAAAGAGAGAGAUUUACUUGUUCAAAGAUGAAAACUCGAUUUCGAGAACAGAUGAGAUUUUUAAAGUUAUUGAAUCUCUGCUUAUAAGAGCUUUUUCAAGAUGAAUUUUAAAGAUGUUGAGCUUCUACUUAGAGGAGUUUUUUCAAGAUGAAUUUUUAAAAUUAUUGAGACUUUGCUUAGAGGAGCUUUUUCAAAAUGGAUUUUUGAAGUUGUUGAGCCUAUGCCUAGAUGAGCUUUUUCAAUAUGGAUUUUUAAAGUCGUUAAACCUUUGCUUAGAAGAGCCCUUUUAAAAUUUCAAAAGUCAUUGAGCCUCAAUUGAGAUGAGCCCUUGUAAAUUUUUAAAAACAUCAAUUAAAAAAUUGAGUCUCUGAUUAGACUAGUUUUUUCUUCUUUUCGGAUAAAAUGGUUGUGUAUUUGUCUUUGUCUUAUUCCUGAUUCUCAAAAAUAGGCAAAAAAAGUCAGUUAUAGACACAAUUUUAUUAGUUUAUUUAUUUAUUUUUUUUUCUUUUUUUAACAGCUUUUUUGUUAACCGUCGGUAGUCACACUGCCAGCGACUUUGACAGUUGCCUACAGCUGUCAGCGACUCUGAUAGCCACUGACAACCAUUCUAACAAUCGGUGGCUGUCCUAAUUGUAGGCAAUCAAAAUCUCAAAUUUUUUGAGAUUUUGAUCUUUCUUUUUGCUCUAUAAAUAGAGCUGUAAAAAUACCAAUGAGGGAGAGGAAAAAAAAGAAGCCCAAAAAUCUUGUAAAAAAAAUAGAUAAAAAAGACACACUCACUGCUAGAUUAAAAAAAAAAGCUUCCUAUGAAAAAAAAUCAAACACAAAAAAACAAAUUGUCUCUAGAACGGGAACAACAACGUCAAUCUACAAAAAUAAGAAAAAUUAGUUUAACUGAACCUUUCAGGCCAGAUCCCUGCUGUUGAGAGCUUUUUUUUUGUAAAACUAGGUUCGGAUCUAGACUCAAGAGACUGGAAACAUUCAUUUAGUGAAUUUUAGGAUUUUUUGACAACUGACAAAUGACGACCGACAUGGCGCAAUAGUCACCAGAUUCUGGGUUCUAGAGAAAGGGAAAGUGUUUGAGAGGAAGAGAGAGAAAGAAUAAGAAGAAAACUAAAAAAAAUAACUAAUUUGGCAUUUAAAUAGGCUUUCAAAAUAACAUUGUUUAGGUAACAAGCAAAACGACAUCGUUUUAACCCAAAGAAUCCGUGCAUAGACCCGCAACUAGACCCUGAGGUCCGCACACUUGAUUCGACGAACCCGUUCUCCCUUUGACUCCCCACCAGUCCAGCUGAAUCGACCCAGCUAAAUCGGCCUAGGCCGAAUUAGACUGGAACCAAACCGCUGAACCUGAACUAACAGGACUAGACCAUGCGUUAACCGGACCUUUGACCAAUCACGUUCAAGUAAAAAAAAAAUUUUUUUGAAUUUUUUUAGAUUUUUUUAUUUUAAAAUUUUAUUAUUAAUAUUUAUGCAUGUUAAAAUAUUUAGAUUUACUAGAAUAAAUUUUAUGUUGUUUAUAAUAAUAAUUAAUAUAAAUAAACAAUGAAAUACAUAAUUAAAAUUUUGUGAUAAUUUUUGUUUUUUUUAAAUAAAAUAAUAAACCUAAAAAUAAUAACAAAUGCAAUAAAAUAAAAUAAAAAUUUUAUCCGACGAUUAGAUUCAAAGAUACUUUGAGUAGUGAUGCUUACGAAAUCUUUAGGUGAAAAUAUUUUUUUUAAAUACAACAACUGUAUUAGAGUAUUUGUAAAAGAUUUUCAAUACAAUAAAAAAUUUUAAUAAAAAAUAAAAUUAACUAAUAAAUUAAAAAAAGGUGAUAAAAUAUGAGGAAAAAAAAUUUUAUUCGAUGACGGAUUGUAAGAGUAUUUUGAGUAGAGAUACUUUAAGAAAUCUCUAGGUGAGAAGAUUUUUUUAAUAUUACUAGUGUAUUAAAAUAUUUAUAGAAAAUCUUCAAUAUAAUAAAAAUUUUUCUUUUCUUCAAAAAUUUAAAUAACUAAUAAAAAGAUAAUAAAAAUCAAUACUAAAAUGUGUGCAUCAACAUAUUAGUAUUUUUUGCAUUGCAUGCAUAACAUGAUUUUUACAAAAAAUAAUUUUGAAUCUCCGAAGAUGAGAUUCUAAGAUAUUUGAGAAACGAUGCUUAAAAAAUCUUUAAAUGAAAAAAAGUUCUUCUAAUGUUACAAAUGUAUUAGAACAUUUUAAGAAUUAUUUCAAUAAAAAUGUUCUAAUUUAUUUUUCUCGAAUAAAAAAAUGAAACAUUAAAAAAAAUUAAAUUAAAUUAAAAAAUCAAUUUCUAAUAAAUAAAAAAUCAAGAAAAUUAUUUUCAAAUACUGAAAAUAAGACUGUUUUUAUCAAAUUAAUGGAUAACACAUAAUUAAACAGUACUAUUUAAACAGACGUUGUGAGGGUGCUAAUCUUUUUUCACGCGUAAUCGACUCUCGAACUCAGACAGUUGUGUAAACCCUAAAAUUAUCCUUUUAAUAAAUUUUAAUUAAUUUUAAAAUUUUAUUAAAAAGAUAUAUUUUAAUAGAUGAUCAAUCAUAUCUAAUUAAAAAAAAUUGAUGAUAAUUUUAUUUUUUUAUUGUAUUUUUAAAUUUAUCAGAUGAACAUAAAAUUAUUCCGAUAGUUCUCUUUAAUUCUAUCAUGCUCUUUUUUAUCUCAAGAGAUUAAAAUUUUAAGAUACAUAUAUAUAUAUAUAUAAUACUUAUCAAUUUGUAACUUUGUUUAUUAUAUUAGAUCAAUUCUCUAUAUAAUAUUCCAAAUCUUAUGUAAUCUUUUUGAGUCUUCUUAUAAUCAAAUUAUUAAGUUAGAAAAGUGAAAAACUUAAUGUGAGGGCCUGAAAGGUCAGAUCAAGCUGGUCCAUCGUGGUCAAAAUCAAAUUAUUGAAGCUGAGAUAAGCAAUGGCGUGAAAAGGUCAGAUCAAACUGGUCUAUCGUGGUCAAUAAUCAAAUUAUUGAAGCUGAGAUAAGCAAUGAAAAGGUCAGAUCAAACUGGUCUAUCGUGGUCAAUAAUCAAAUUAUUGAAGCUGAGAUAAGCAAUGGCUUGCUACAAUUACAAGAUUAAUAAUCGAUAUUUGAGAUCGAAUUUAAUUCAAAAUUUAAGAUUUAAAAUUUAAUACGAAUUUGAUUAAAUUUUAUUUUUUAAUUUAAAUUUAAUUUGAAAUAAAAAUUAAAUUAUUUAAAUUUAUUUAAUAAAUAAAAAUAAAUUUAAUUAUUUAUACUUCAAUUUAAAAUACUUUACUAAUUAUAAUAUAUUAAAUUAUAAAAUCUGAAUUAAACUCAUAAAUUAUUUGAAUUAAAUAUAAAAUUAUUUUAAUUUAAUUUAAUUAAUAAAUAAAUUAUUCAAAUUUAAAUUUAAUUUAAUAAUAAUCAAAUAAAAUUUAAAUUUUAUUUUAAUCAAAUUUAAAUAAUUUAUAAAUAUUAACGUAUCAUUCGUAUCUCAAACUGCAACUGCCGAAGAGCAAACAAUUUUUUCCAAAGUGAACUUUCAAGACAAGUGGAAUAAUUAAUAGCAUUCCUACACGACAAAUAGAUAGAUCAUCACUCCCUGUCCCACCAUCAGAUUAAGAUAGGGACAGCAAUAUUGAGAUUGAUUGAGAGAGAAAUUGCAAGUAACUAGGUUUGCGCUCCGCUGCACAAUGCAGCUUGCGUGAUAAUUUUUUUUAUUUAAAUAUUUUUAAUUUUAAGAUGUUUAUGUUUUAUUUUGAUUUCAUUCUUCAACAUACCGUUUGUUCUUUUAAAGUCAAUUUUUUCACUUCUCUUUUUCUUUUCUCCCUUUAAAAUUGAAGCUUCUCUAUCUAGGCGAUUUUUAAUUAUUGGAAACUGUGGUGUCAACUCCCGUCCACCGUCCGCAUCGGAGCCCUUUCAACCUAAAAUUUCAUCACAGAUUCUCCUCAAUUUCCUCACUAUUCAAGCACUGAUUUUUCAAAAUUAGUCCUUAAAAAUGUAGAUUUACAACCCAAGUCACGGCCUAAAAAUCUCCUGUAACACUUACACUCGCCACUCCAAAAAGCCCAUCUCUUACUAUUUUGUCCUUAUUCCUUGGCUUCCAAGGUAAUGAUGCUAGUUGUUGUAUUAUUAUUAUUUUUAUGUUAUGUUAUUUUAUUUUAUUUUUUGUUAAGUGGUAGAUUUUGAUUUUUUUUGGUUAGUGGUUGAGUUUUGGAUUAAUUGUUAGCUGAGUGUACAUACAUCGUUGGUGGAAGUUAAUGGUGGUGUGGGUAUGGAAGAUUUAGAUUUCAUAUUAAAAAUUUUGCACAUAUAUAUUUGAUCUACAAAGAAAAUUUGAAGAUCUAUUUUUUAUUUUUUUCUUACAUUUUAAAUUUUUUAGUAAUUAUAUUUUAGGGUAUUUUAUUUUAAUUAAAAAGGUAUAAUAGUUUUUUUAUUUAUUGAAAAAGUGUCAAAUGAGUUAGUUUUAAUAUAUAAUAUAAAUUUUUUAAUGUUCAAAUUAUUCAAAAGUAAUUGAGAUUUGAACUUUAACAAUAUUUAUAUUUUAUAAAAUUAUCUAAAAAAUUCUUGUAAUCCUUUCUAAAAGAUGAUUUUCGACAAAUUUAAAGUUUAUAAUUUAGCAUAUGCAUUUUUUUUCAUUCAUAUUACUUUUAGAUUGCGAUCUCAUUUAUAUAAAAAAUUAAUUUUAUUAUAAAAAUAAAAUUAUGUAAAAUUUGAAGUAAAAUUAUUUCCAUCCGAAUCUUAUAUAACAAUUUCAUUUUUUAUUAUUUAAUAUUAUAAUAUCUAAAUUUAUUUAAAUAUCUAUUUAAAUUUAGUAUCACUAACUAAAUUUAAAUCUAUUUAAAUAAAUAUUAUUCAUUUAAAUAUUUGAAUAUGUUAAAAUAUUUAUUUAUUUAAAUUUUUUAUCAAGGUAUAAAAUAAACAAGAAUUAAAAUUAAAAUUAAAAUUCACUCUUAACUAAUAACGAGUAAAAGUUAUUUAUUAAGGUUGAAAACUUCAUAAAUAUAAAAUUUUAUAUAUUUUACAUACGAAAAUGAAUAAUGGAUUCAAAUAUCUAUUAUUAUUUAUUAAAAUCUAAAUUGAUUCAGAUAUUGAAUACUUAGAUAAAUUAUUUAUAUACUAUCCGAAUUUGUCAUGGAUAAUAAAUUUUCUAUCCGAAUUCAUUAAUUAUUUAUUUUCAAUUAUCCAAAUCUAACAUAAACUAAUUGCGUAAUAACAGAUUUAUUUAGUAUUUAUUACAAACUCCAUUUUCCAGACAUUUUUAAUAAGUGUCUAUAUGCUGAAUACAGUGCUGGCACGUCACUUUUCCUUCCUUUGCCUAUAAAUUAAAGAGUAAUGACAAACUUAUUACCUGUACUAAAUGCGAGGGAACUCAUAGUAUUGAGCACAUACAUUCUAUAAAGCAAACAAGGAUGGAAGGCCGAGGUCUAAGAGGAGGAUGCACCGCCCAAGCUCCUCUUCACACGUUUGAACCCCUGCAGCGGACGGCCUUGAACCGCGUAUUUGCGGUGGUUUACUCGUGUGCAAUUAUUGCUCUACUCUAUCGCCAUACGCAGAUACUUCUCUACUCCACAACCUUACUCUCUUUCUCUAUGACACUGUCUUUGCUCAUCUCAGAUCUUGUCCUUGCCUUCAUGUGGGCGUGCGGACAAGCUUUUCGAAUGCGCCCAAUUCGUCGUAAAGAGUUCGCUGAAAACCUCAAAGGAAUCAUGAAAGAAGAAGAUUUUCCAGGGCUGGACGUGUUCAUAUGCACGGCUGAUCCUCACAAGGAGCCACCAAUGAAUGUGGUGAACACAGCCCUCUCGUUGAUGGCUUAUGAUUAUCCAAAAGAGAAGCUUUCCGUCUAUGUAUCAGAUGAUGGAGGGUCAGCUUUGACUCUCUUUGCUUUCAUGGAGGCUGCUAAGUUUGCAUGUCAUUGGUUACCAUUUUGCAGGGAGCACAAUAUAAUGGAUAGGAGCCCUCAAGUAUAUUUUGCGUCUAAUUAUCAUUCUUGGAGCCCAGAGAUUGAGGAGAUUAAGGUAAUUAAUAUACUCAAACACUUGCUAAUUCUAUCUCAAAAACUUUAAUUGACUGACUUUCCAUGCCUAAUUUUGUACAAAAUUAUAUUGAUAAAGUAAUUUAAUUUUGGGUGUUCACUAUUACUUAUGUCUAACAAUAACAGUAGAUAUGCCAGUAAGUUUUCAUAUACAAUGGUAGAUCUAGAUUUUUUUUUUUUUUUUGUGUCCACUCUUUACGGUGAGUGUUUGUUGAAUGUUGGAUAUUGGUUGGCUGUGAGCUAUAAUUGAGUAUUGAGUAGUAACAGUAAAUAGAAUGGUUAAAGGAUUUAAAAAAGAUAUAUUAUAAUUUUUAAGAGUAUUAAAAAAAGUUUUCAAUUCUUUUUUAAUUUUUAAAACUUUGUGAAUCUCCAUAAACACUUUUAAUUUUAUAUUUGCAACUACCGCUAUUUUCGUAUAUCCAAAUUAAAUUCCUGCAUGGACAAAAAAAAAAAAGGUAAAGUUGAUUUUUAAAUCAAAUCUAAUUUUAUAAUCAUCAUGAUCAUAAUUAAUGCAUCAUUAAUCUCAAAAAGUGCUAAAUAUAGUCCACAAUAAAUAUUGAAAGAAAGAAAUUAAAGAAAUAUAUAAUAAUAAAGGGGUACAUGGAAUCUACGUACCAUAAAUAUUGAGAAAAGGAAAUUAAAGAAAUAUAUAAUUAAGGGUGGAUGGAAUCUAGGAGCUGACUCGUGAGAUAAACUAGAAGAUUAUAUAUACUAGGAGCCAAUGGUCGGUCCUAAUCUAAAAUAAUUAAAAUUACAUUUAAAACAAAUUAAACUCCCUCAGUUUCAUUUUGUUUGGGUGAUUGAUUUUCGUGAAAUUAAAAAAAAAAAAAAGAGUUUUGAUUUUAGACUAUUUAAUAUUAAAAUUAAAAUUAUAAAAUCAAAGUUUUAUGAUUUUAAAUGUCAAAAACUAAAAAAGAAUAUAAAAAGUAAGAGUUUAGAUAUUCAAAAAAGAAAAGAAAUUAUAAUUUUGAGACAUCUAAAGAAAAUGAAUAAAGAAAAUUGAAACGAAGAAAUAUGUGAUAUUGAUUAAUAUGAGCUUAUAUAAAAUAAUAUAACUGAUUAUAAUUUAUAUAUUAAAAAAUUAAUGAUGAAAAUUACUAGUAUUCAUCAUUAUGUAUAUAAAAAAAAAAAAUCAAAGAUGAAGUUAUAAGUUAUAGCAAUUUAUUAACAGAUAAAAUAUAUUAAACUCUUAAUUUGAAUAUAAUUGAGAGAUUAAAAAAGGAUCAUGUCUUAACCUAUGUUUCUAGGCAUUAUUAAGUAAGCAUUCUUAGACAUUUAUAUGUUCAGUUAACUUAAGAAAAAUAAGAAAAACUAUAUUAGCAGUUAAAAUUAAAUAUUUAUUUUUGAUAAAAGAGAAGGCAAUUAAAAAUAAAAAAAGUUACAUAUAUCAAAAUAUAAAUUUGAAAUUUAUUAAAUGUUAAUUUUUAAAGGUUUAUGUAUGAAUCAAUUUUUUAAUCUCGAAGUUCAAACCAAUCAAAUAUUUGUGUUAAUUUUAUAUGUAUAUACAUUUUGUUUCUGUAAAAGUUGAGUUUUAAUUUUUUUUUUCAAAAAAAAAAAUGUUGCAUCUUACAGCUUUUCUCUGACAUGUUUGAACAUUGGACCACAUAUGAAAUAAUUUUCGAUGUGUCAGUCAAUUAAUUAGGGCAGAUUCAGACAAAGAACCCCAACAACCGAUUUUGUCAUUUAGGCCGCAUCAUUUUGGUUUUGUCAAACCUUCAAAUUAAAGAUUAGGAUUAGUACUAAUCCAUAUGUCUAAAUCAUGUCUAGACUGUUGACUUGUGCAUGGAUCCAAACGACUUAUUUCAACUAUACAAAUAUAUAAUAUAUUACUUUUCUUUAUUUGGGGGGUAAUAUAUAUAUAUAUAUAUUAUUUUCAUGCACCUAAAUGUAUCAAAUGUAAAUAGAUGCUUAUAAGAUAUAAUUUGGAAGUUUUUUUUAUUAUUAGUAAUUUAGUUUAUCUUAUGCUUUUCUCGAAGAAAAGAACCUCUAUAGCUUGCUUGUGCUGGCACUGCCAUGUAUCAAGUCCUAGCUAGAUUUAGCUGGACAAAAUUUAUAUGAAAUUUUUUAAAUAAAAUUUAUAAAUUUUUUUAAGUGAUUUAAUAAAAAUUUUAAUAAAAAAUUUAGAUGGAUAGAAUUUAAUGUGAAAAAUAAUAAUAUAUUAAAAAUAUUAUUUAUACUUCAAAUUUAAUUGAUACUUAUUUUAUGGUAAAAAUUUUAUCAAUAUUUUUAUUAAAAAUAUCUAUUUAAAAAUAUAUAUAAAAAAUUAUUUAAAAAAUUUUUAAAUUUACAUAUUUAAUUUAUACAACAAGAUUAUUCAAUUUAUCAAUUUUAAUUUUAAUUUAAUAAGUUUUAAUAAUAAACUUCAAGAAUUUUAUCUAAAAAAUUUUAUUUAAAUAUUUCUUUAUGUUGAUCCAUUUAUUGUUUUGGCUUUGCUCAUGGCAUAGUUUAGUUUUUGCGAUUUCGGCUGCAAGUCCCUUUUUUUUUUUGCCACUAAGUCCCUGGUAGUUUUUUUUUGGCCAAUUAAGUCCCUUGUAGUUGAAUAAGGCUUUUUAUUAUUUUCUCCUUUUUUAUUUCAAAAGGAAAAUUAAAUUAAAAUUAAAAUAUUUAGACACUUUAAGGAUAUGUUUGAUAAAUAGAAUGAUGAAGCCCAUAAAAUGAUUAUCUCAUUAUCUUAUUGUUGAUGCACACAUAAAAAAAUUAAAUUCUCUUUUCCAAAUCAUAAAAAUAAUUGCAUUAUUAUAUUGCUAUAAUAUAAAUAAUGAUUAUUUUUUUGAAUCUUGUAUUAUUUCGAUCACAAAACCUUAUGGUAUGUGUUUAAAUAUUUAGAUUUUUUUUAAAGUCAAAGUGCAAUAUAUAUUAUUGUAAUAAAUUAGAUUUUGAUAAUUUAAAAUACGAUAUUAAUAUAAUAUAAAAAAAUACAAAACAUAUAUGAUUUAAGAUUUUAAUAAUAAUUAUAUUUAGAUUUAAUAAAAUCAAAAAAUAUAUUUUAUAUUUUUAUAACAAUACAAAUUAUGGCAUAUAAUUUUUAUAUAAAAUAUAAUAUAAAUACAUAAAUUUUAAUAACUAAAUUUAUAACAGUUGAGAAAAAGCUAAAAUAAUUAUAUUUCGUCGCUCAUAUCCUAUUUUGUAGGAAUGAUAACGAAUCAAAUCAGAUUUGGUUCAAUUUUUAAUUUAAUAUAUAAAUAUUUAGUAUUUAAAUUUAAUUUAAACCAAAUAAAAAAAAUUCAAAACAAAUUAAACACUAUAACUUUAAAUUUAUUGAAUUUUUUCCUCACCCUGAAUGUCUUUGUCUUGCCCAUUUUCUAGUACCCUUCAAAGGAGCAUCUAUCCUCAUAAUGUCUACACCACUGAUUAGUGCAAGUGGCCAAGUUGGUUGAGGGAUACUUUCUUUGCUUUUCUUUUCCCAACUUUAUUGUUCAAACAUUUCCAACUAAAUAAUUUAGGAAGUCAUUAAGAAGAUAUCAAAUUAUAUAAAUAUAAUACUUAUAUAUAUAUAUAUAUAUACACAAAACAAUAGUACCAUUUUCAUUCUAAGUUGGGAUUUUUUAAUAUAAAAAAUUCUAUACGCCACUUUAUUACAAAUUAUUACUUAAAUCACCAUGUGAUUAAUGGCACCUGCCCUGAAUAGCUGGUACAAAACCUCUUAAAUUUCACCCUUACUGCCCACUUCUAAAGAGAAAUUCACCCUUCGACUGCCCAUUGCCAUCAUCACUAGCCACACAAGUAAUGGAGGUUCUAAGUCGGAGAGAGCACUACACCACCCCCCUGGCACCCAUCGAUACUCCUCUUCACACCGUGGAACGCCUCCCACGCACGGCCGUGAACCGCGUCUUUUUGGUAGUUUACACUUGCGCCAUCCUAGCUCUACUCUACCGCCAUGCACAAACACUUGUCAAUUCCACAGCCUUAGUCUCUUUAUUUAUAACCCUCUCUUUGCUUGUCUCUGAUCUCAUUCUUGCCUUCAUGUGGGGAACUUCACAAGCUUUUCGCAUGUACCCAAUUCAUCGUAAGCAAUUCCCAGAGAACCUGAAAAAGAACGUGACGGAGCAAGAUUUUCCAGGGUUGGACGUGUUCAUAUGCACGGCUGACCCUUACAAGGAGCCGCCAAUGAGUGUGGUGAACACGGCUUUGUCCUUGAUGGCUUAUGAUUAUCCCAACGGAGAAGAUUUCGGUGUAUGUAUCGGACGAUGGAGGAUCAGCUUUGACACUCUUUGCUUUCAUGGAGGCUGCUAAGUUUGCUAGUUACUGGUUACCAUUUUGCAGGGAGAAUAACAUUAUGGAUAGAAGCCCGGAUGUUUAUUUUUCAUCAGCUCAUUCUUGGAGCUCUAAGGCUCACAAGAUUAAGGUAAAUCCACUUUUAAAGUUAAAUUCUAAAAGAAUGAUAGUCAAUUAACAUUUUUAAUUGCAUUUAACUCCAAAUUUUGUAUGUAUAAUUAAUUUCAACGAUCAAAAUUUCAAACAACAUGACUAUAAAAAAAACUUCAUUACCGGAAAAAUAAAUUCACUAGAGAUAAGGGCAAGAGUGCUGCAGCAACAAAGAGAAGAUUUCUUGUCGGAAGUAUAUAAGGCGACAAGAAAAGUUAUGUCAUCAUUGAUCUCAGCUUGGCUGUUGUUGUGGUAUGUACAAUGUCUAAACAAUGAUAGCAAAUCCUUCAUGAUAAAAAAAAAAAAACAAAAACAAAAAAGCAAAUCCUUCCCAUCUUUAUUUUUGUCCCAUGUUCCAUGGAAUGGGAUAUCUUUUAAAGUUCCCAAAAACAUGAAAUUAAUUAUCACUUCUUGUCUUAUGGAUAUCUUCUUUUUUUUUUUUUCGUCUAAAGGUCAAAUUACAUGAACGAAUGGUCAAAUUAGAUAUUGAUGUUAAGUCGUGUUUAGUGUGUGUAUAUAUAUAUAUAUAUAUCUUAUUCAAAAUUUAGUUCAAUUAAUUUGUACAAUUACUUUUAAAAUAUGUCAUCUAAUAAGUUGAGUUCAAAUAUCGAUAUUUACUGUUCUUAUUCUUAUUUUCAGGUUAUACCUCUUUUAUAUAUAAAAAAAAAAUUUAUUGAAAACUAUAUAUAGAUAUAUAUAUGACAUAUUUUAAAUGUGAUUGUAUAAAUUAAUUGAGCUAAAUUUUGAAAAAGAUAUAAUAAGGAUAAAAUUAAUGAGUAAACUCACUCAAAGGUCAAGCUACCUAUUCAAGGGUUAAGUUAUUCGCCUGAGUUCAAAAGCUUAUUAAGUUAAUUUUAAGAGGGUUUUGACAAAGAAUUAAGAUUUAUUAAAUGGAUUUGAACAAAAAUUUUAAGCUUUUUUAAAUUUUGAGUCAGGUUUCAAACACAAAAAUUAAAAUUUGAGCUUGGCUUAAUGCAGCUUGCCUAAUAUAAAUAUAAUUAAAUUAUUAUAAUUAUGUAUGUGUAAAUUUUUAUUUUAAUGUUUUAUUUUUUAUUAUAUAAAUUAGAUUUAAUAGGUGAGUUUAUAUUUUAUUUUUAUAGCAUGGACUGAAUUUGAAAAAAAUUUUAAGCCUAAAAUAUCAAGGCAAAUCAAAUAUAAAUAAAUAUAUAAAUUAUUAAUUCCAAAUACGGAUCCAACCUGAUCAAUUAAUACAUCUAUCCCUAAAUUGUUUUCAUAUUAUGUUACAUGCAUAUGCACCAAAUUUCUCAUCAUGUUUUGUUUUAUUAUCAACAUAUGGCUUCAUGGUCAUGAUAAAAUCAAUUUUUUAAGCUGCUAACUCUUAGUAAAAUUUUCAAUUUCCCAAAAAUUUAAAAUAUACAACAUGCAAGUCAAAUACUUCAUAUAUUGAUUCCUAAAUGGUUCAAAUUUUUAAACUUGUUAAAUGAAAUAUCGGUUCAUUGAAGUUCUUUCUUAUUUAAAAAAAAAGUUUCAAUUUUAAAAUUUCAUGAGAUAUUCGUUUAUAAGAUAGUAGAAAUAACAUUUGGAUCUUAAAUCUUAAUCAUGUGCCAGGAAAUAUACGAGAACAUGAAGGUAAGAGUAGGAAAUGUUGUCAACAGAGGAGAAGUUAGUGAAAUUUACAUCAACAAUGAUCAAGAACGUGAAGCUUUUGACAAAUGGAGAGGCGCAUUUACCCCCCAAGAUCACCCUACUGUCAUUCAGGCUUGCAUUCAGCCUUUAAUCUUCCAUAUUUUCGUAACUCAAAAUCUUGUAAGAGCUUGUUAAUUUCCCCUUUCUUGUACACUUAUAUGAGCAGGUUCUAUUAGAUAACAGCACCGACAAAGACAUCACUGGCCACUGCCUGCCAAAUCUCAUUUAUGUCUCCAGACAGAAAAGUAAGACCUCACCCCACCAUUUUAAAGCUGGUGCUCUAAAUGUUCUGGUAUGGUAUACUGAUCAUCUUACAAUAUUUCCAAUCAACAAUUAUCUCAUUCUUAUACAUUUUUUAUCCUAACAUUUUCCUUGUUUUUGGAUAUUGCAGCUUCGUGUAUCAACUAUCAUGACCAAUGCCCCAAUAUUCUUAACCCAAGACUGUGACAUGUAUUCAAAUGACCCCCAAACACCUCUGAGGGUGCUAUGUUAUAUAUGUGACCCUGCAAUUGAACGAACUUUGGGGUUUGUGCAAUUUCCUCAGCGCUCUCGUGGCAUAAACAGAGAUGACACCUAUGGAUGCGAGUACAAACAUCUAGGCGAGAUACAUCCUAUGGGCUUUGAUGGUCUUAGGGGCCCAGAUUAUUGUGGAACUGGAACCUUUUUCCUUCGGCAAGCUCUCUUUGGUGAUCCAUCAACUUCUGUAAAAUCAGAAAUCCUUGAACUCAGCCCUGACCGUAUUAAGAACAAACCUAUUAAAUCUCCGGACAUUUUAGCUUUAGCACAUCAUGUAGCAAGCUGCAAUUAUGAAAAUCAGAACAAAUGGGGAUACAAGGUAAGCUAACCAUUUUCGCUAUUUGAAAAUUCAGCAGCGCCCUAAGCUCUUUCCUCCACCCAAACAUUGAUCUUAGUGAUGGAAAAAAAAAACUUGCAGAUGGGGUUUAGAUAUGGAUCAUUGGUUGAGGACUUCUACACAGGUUACCGGUUGCAAUGUGACGGAUGGAGGUCCAUAUUUUGCAAUCCUAAAAGGGCUGCAUUUCUAGGGAAUGCACCAAUCAACUUCGUUGAUGUACUGAGUCAAUGCAAGCGAUGGGCCAUCGGCCUACUUGAAACUGCCUCGUCCAAAUAUUCUCCCAUAACCUUUGGGACCAAAUCUAUGGGUCUCCUCAUGGGCCUAGGCUAUUCUUACUAUGCAUUCUGGCCCAUUUUGUCCAUUCCAGUGACCGUCUAUGCCUUCCUCCCUCAACUAGUUCUCGUCAGUGGAGUCUCCGUCUUUCCAGAGGUAUGUAUCGGCAUUCAUUGUAGCUGUAGUUGCUCUCUCUCUCUCUCUCUCUCCCUCAUGUUAAAUGGAUUAUAACAUGAAUGCUAUUGAUUCAAAAUUUUCGAAAGUUGAAUAUUAUUCAAUGCUUGCACUUAUGGUAAAGAAAAAAAUGUUGCAGAUAACCGAACCAUGGUUUCUCUUGUACUUGUUUCUUGUCCUCGGUGCUUAUGGACAAGACUUCCUUGAAUAUGUUCUGGAGGGAGCAACUUUCCGAAAGUGGUGGAACGCCCAGAGGAUGUGGAUGAUCAGGAGCCUUUCGAGUUUCUCGUUUGGUACAGCAGAGUACUUUCUUAAGUCCAUAGGCCUGUCUACUUGUGGUUUCAAUGUGACCAACAAAGUGGUCGAUGAUGAACAAAACAAAAGAUAUUCCCAAGGGAUCUUUGAGUUUGGAGUCCCAUCCCCAUUGUUUGUGCCACUCACAAUGGCAGCAAUAAUCAACUUAUUUUCAUUCAUCUGGGGAACAAUUUUAGUUUUCGGUGGCAGCAACGAGGAAGGCCUGCUUUUGCAGAUGUUACUAGCAGGGUGCAUUUUUGUGAAUUUCUUCCCAAUUUAUGAAGCAAUUGCCUUGAGGAAUGACAAAGGAAAAUUGCCUACCAAGAUUACCAUCAUUGCGACACUUCUGGCGGGGGCUCUUUAUACUGCAACUUCUUUUAUUUUCAAGCGAUAAAAAUACUUAGGGGCCUUUGCCUUUUUGCUUCUCCUUUCAAUAUUUUCUCUGACUGAAAUGAAAUUUUUAGUUUUAUAUGGCAAUUAUUGGGCAGCAGGCAGCUACAGAAAUGGCUUAUAUAUUUUCUGGGGAAUUGGCACUUCAAACGGUAUGAGCAGGGGCGGCGAAACACAAUGCAUGGUUCAUUGACGCACAUUGACUGUAAAUAACAACCAUAAAGGAACUACUUUUCUCUGUCAAUAUGCUGAAAGUAUCUUAUACGCAUAAAUUCCACCUGGCUAUAACUUUCUUCAAGCUCUCUCCUAAUCGCAAAUAGAGCUACAAGCUCAGUCAUCCUCGUCACCCCAUGAUUAUAUAUAUACCACUCUUGCACAUUGCCACGUGCAAGUUUGGAUGGGAAUAACGCAUGCCUUCGAGCACCUCCAACAGCCAAUCUAUCAAAAUGUGCAAAUCAGAUUGAUCAAGCUUGCUCGAUAUGCCCUCCAAUCAAUUAUAAAAUUCCCUCUAAACGUUUUUCCUUGGUUCAGCAAUUGCAUAUGUACUUUCUAUUGUCAUUGAUCCAUAAAAUUUUGCAAAAAGAAAGCAAACUCCAAUAUUUAAGGAACGAAAAAGAUCCAUAUUAAAUCACAAAGUUGAUAGGGCUCUUCCUUUCCUAAUCAUCUUCAUCUCAAAGAUACAGAAAACAUACAUACUAAACUAAUACUUCCUCUUCCUGAUCUUGAAGCUGGAGAAUCGAAUAACAUCAUCAUCUGUAUUCAGCGCCACCUCAAGAGCUGCCAUUGAUUCCGGUUUCGUAAAGUAGGUAAAGAGGAGGUAAAUGCCAUCCGAGUAAGUGUUGGUUUCCCCAUCUUUAUUUUUCUUCUUGAUGCUGUAGGCUAGUGGGAUGACCCCUCUGUUAAAUACCUCAACAUACAUGCCACCCCCAGCGACAAGAAGCUGCAAGACGAACCCCAUCAGGAAAAGGAUUUGAAUAAACUUGCAAUAACAUGUCAUCAACCCUUUCCAAUUCACCCAAGAGUUCAGACUAUUUUAUUAAAUGCCAUGUUUUCAAAACCAAUCUUCAAUAGAUAAAAUGAAAUUAAAAGCAAAAACUUUGCAAAAAUGUACCAAAUACCAUACAAUUCUCAAUCCCGAAAUGAAAAAAAAAAAAAAAAAUCCCUAAAUUACGUUAGCAACCAAACUGAGAAUUUACAAAUUACAACAAAAGAAAAUUAAAAAAAAAAAGAGAGUUAUUUUACAAAACAUUACCUCCUCGUACUUCUGGGUAAGAGCGAGCCUGUCGUCUUCCGACAUGUCGGGUCUCAAAACUGCCAUUGUCUCGUACUGUCGGAGUCCCGGUGGGCACUGGGGUUCCUCUUUAUCUUCCAAGGCGGUUAUGCCAGGCCCGGGUUGGGACGGAGGGUCAUCGUCCGAACCAAACUCGUCCGACUCAAAGAAUGAACCAGAGAAGUCGAAGGUCUGGGCUUUCACGGCUAAGGUUGUGUGAUUGUUUCUUUUAAGGGAAGUCAGAGACCUUGGCUUUAACUGGAUUGGUUUGAGGCUCUGAGUGAAUGAGAGAAGAGGCACAGGUGGGAAUUGGGCGAGAUGGUGGGUGCAAAACAGGGAUUUGGUUAGAGAUGAGGGUUUUGUAAGCCCAGCUGAGGCUUACUGAUGAGUUAAAGAAGAAUGGAGGGUAGGCGCAUCCGGGGCAGUGGUGGCGUCUACGCCUUUAUGUUUGGUUGGGCUUGGUCCUAUUGGGCUAUUAUCUUUUUUCAUACCCAUUGCUUUGGUUUAUUAAUGGAGGAAAAAAAUAAAGUGCAGUUUAGGGGCACCUUAAACAUUUCUGCUUAAUUUUUAAUCAACACUACAAUUUUCUUUUAAUAUUUAAAAUCGUCAGAAUUUUAAUUAUAAUUAUUAAAAGUAACAAUUUAAAAUGACUGUUGGUUACGGUCAACAAAUUAAAGUACCUAUAUCGAAUAUUCAACUUCAUUUAAUAAUGAAUGCCUUAUAAAAAAAAUAAUAAUAAUACUGAUAUAAUGGAUACAGGACGCUUUAGGAAAAGAAAGAAAAUGAAAUGAUUGAGUUUGGUUUCGAAAAAUAAAAUUAUUUUUUUAUAUUUUUAAGAAAAUGAAAAAUAUAAUUGAAAACGUGAUAAUUGAAAUUAAAAACAAAUUUUUAAAAAACAGAAAUGAAAAUAAAUUGAAAUGUAAAAACAAAAAAUAUAUAUCUUUAUUUGUGAAAACAAAAUAUAUACAUUACCUUUUUAAUAUCAUUAAUUAAUAAAUAUAUAUUAUUUUUAUAAUUAAAUGAAAUUAAUAAUAAUAUUGUUAAAUAUUUUAUUUAUUUAUUUAUUUUUACAUUUUAAAAAACAAUUUUUAUUUUAAAUCAAACGGAGCCUAUCAAUAACGAAUAUUAUAUAUGGUGACUGUACAUACUUGGUGGUAGUUAAUGGUGGUGUGGGUAUAGAUGAUGUAGAUUUCAUAUUAAAAAAUUUGCACGUACAUAUUUGAUCUACAAAGAAAAUUUGAAGAUCUAUUUUUUUAUUUUUUUUGUUUUCUUACAUUUUAAAUUUUUUAUUAAUUAUAUUUUAGGGUAUUUUAUUUUAAUUAAAAGGGUGUAAUAGUUGUUUUCUUUAUUGAACAAAGUGUCGAAUGAGUUAGUUUUAAUAUAUAAUAUAAAUUUUUGAAUGUUCAAAUUAUUCAAAAGUAAUUGAGAUUUGAACUUUAACAAUAUUUAUAUUUUAUAAAAUUAUCUAAAGAAUUUAUGUAAUCCAUUUUAAAAGAUGACUUUUGAUAAAUUUAAAGUUUAAAAUUUAAUAUAUGCAACUUUUUUUUUCAUUCAUAUUAUUUUUAGAUUGUUGUCUCAUUUAUAUAAAAAUUUUAAUUUUAUUAUAAAAAAAAGAAAAUUAUAAAAAAUUUGAAGUGAAAUUAUUUCCAUCCGAAUCUCAUGUAACAAUUCCAUUUUUCAUUGUGAAUGGUAGUAAAGCGAAUAUCCAUUAUUUUAAAAGUAUUUAUAUUUGAAUUCAUUUAAUAUUUAUAAUAUUUAAUUUUGUUUAAAUAUCUGUUUAAAUUUAGUAUUACUAUCCCAGUUUAAAUUUAUUUAAAUAAAUACUAUUCAUUUAAAUAUUUGAAUAUGAUAAAAUAUUUGUUUAUUUAAUUUUUUUAUAAAAAUAUAAAAUAAAUAAGAAUUAAAAUUAAAAUUCAAGUUCACUCUUAAUUAGUAAUAAGUAAAAGUUAUUUAUUAAAGUUAAAAACUUUCACAAGUAUAAAAUUUUAUAUAUUUUACAUAUGAAAAUAGAUAACGGAUUUCAAUAUCUAUUAUUAUUUAUUAAAAUAUAAACAGAUUCGGAUAUUGAAUAUUUAGAGGAUAUUAUUUAUAAACUAUUUGAAUUUGUCACGUAUAAUAAAUUUUUUAUCCAAAUUUAUUAAUUAUUUAUUUACAAUUGUCCAAAUCUGACAUAAAAUAGUUGAAUAAUUAUAUAUAUCCAUUUAUUUACUGUUUAUUACAAACUCCAUUUUCCAUACAUUUUUAAUAAGUGUAUCUAUAUGCUGAAUACAGUGCUGGUACCUCACUCUUCCUCCCUUUGCCCAUAAAUUAAUGAGUAAUGACAAACUUAUUACCUGUACUAAAUGCAAGAGAACUCAUAGUGUUGAGCACAUACAUUCCAUAAAGCAAACGAGGAUGGAAGGCCGAGGUCUAAGAGGAGGAUGCACCGCCCAUGCUCCUCUUCACACGUUUGAACCCCUGCGGCGGACGGCCUUGAACCGCGUAUUUGCAGUGGUUUACUCGUGUGCAAUUAUAGCUCUAGUCUAUCGCCAUGCACAGAUACUUCUCUACUCCACAACCUUACUCUCUUUCUCUAUGACACUCUCUUUGCUCAUCUCAGAUCUUGUCCUUGCCUUCAUGUGGGCAUGCGGACAAGCUUUUCGAAUGCGCCCAAUUCGUUGUAAAGAGUUCCCUGAAAACCUCAAAAGAAUCAUGAAAGAAGAAGAUUUUCCAGGGCUGGACGUGUUCAUAUGCACGGCUGAUCCUCACAAGGAGCCACCAAUGAAUGUGGUGAACACAGCCCUCUCGUUGAUGGCUUAUAAUUAUCCAACAGAGAAGCUUUCCGUCUAUGUAUCAGAUGAUGGAGGGUCAGCUUUGACUCUCUUUGCUUUCAUGGAGGCUGCUAAGUUUGCAUGUCAUUGGUUACCAUUUUUCAGGAAGCACAAUAUAAUGGAUAGGAGCCCUCAAGUGUAUUUUGCGUCUAAUUAUCAUUCUUGGAGCCCAGAGAUUGAGGAGAUUAAGGUAAUUAAUACACUCAAACACUUGCUAAUUCUAUCUCAAAACUUUAAUUGACUAAUUGUCCAUGCUAAUUUUUGUGCAAAUUAUAUUAAUAAAGUAAUUAAUUUUGGGUGUGCAAAUUAAAUUCCUGCAUGGACAAGAAAAAAAAAAGGUCAAGUUGAUUUUUAAAUCAAAUCUAAUUUAUAAUCACCAUGAUCAUAAUUAAUGCAUCAUUACUUUCAAAAAAUGCUAAUAUAGUCCACAAUAGAUAUUGAAAGAAGGAAAUUAAAGAAAUAUAUAACAAAGGGGCAGAUGGAAUCUACGUACCCAUAAAUAUUGAAAAAAGGAAAUUAAAGAAAUAUAUAAUAAAGGGGUGGUGGAAUCUAGGAACUGACUGGUGAGAUAAACUAGAAGAUUAUUUAUAAUAUGAGCCAAUGGUCGGUGCUAAUCUAAAAUAAUUAAACUUACAUUUAAAACAAAUUAAACUCCCUCAGUUUCAAUUUGUUUGGGUGAUUGAUUUUCAUAAAAUAAAAAUAAAAAAGUUUUGAUUUUAGUCUUUUAUAUUAAAAUUAAAAUUAUAAAUUAAAGUUUUAUGAUUUAAAACGUCAAAACUAAAAAAGAAUAUAAAAAAUAUAAUUUAAAUAUAAAAAGUAAGAGUUUAGAUUUCAAAAAAGAAAGAAAUAUAAUUUGAGACAUAAAGAAGAUGUGAAUAAGAAAAUGAAAAGAGAAAGAAAUAGUAUAUAUUAAUAUGAGCGUAUAUAAAAUAAUAUAAUUUAUUAUAAUUUAUAUAUUAAAAAAAUUAAUGAUGAAAAUUACUAGUAUUUAUCAAUAUAUAUAUAUAUAUAUUAAACUCUUAAUUUGAAUUUAAUUGAGAGAUAAAAAAAGGAUUAUGUCUUAACCUAUGUUUCUAGGCAUUAUUAAGUAAGCAUUCUUAGACAUAUUUAUGUUAACUUAACUUAAGAAAAAUAAGAAAAAUUAUAUUAGCAGUUAAAAUUAAAUAUUUAUUUUUGAUAAAAAAGAACGCAAUUAAAAAUAAAAAAAUUACAAAUAUUAAAAUAUAAAUUUAAAAUUCAUUGAUUGUUAAUUUUGAAAAAUUUACGUAUGAAUCAAUUUUUUAAUCUCGAGGUUCAAAGUAAUCAAAUAUUUGUUGGUAUUUGUGUUAAUUUUUAUAUGUAUAUAUUUUAUUUCUUUAAAAGUUGAGUUUUAAUUUUCUUUUUUCAAAAAAAAAAAAUUGUUGCAUCUUGCAGGCUGCAGCUUAUCUCUGACAUAUUUGAACAUUGGACCACAUAUGAAAUAAUUUUCGUUAUGUCAGUCAAUUAAUUAGGGCAGAUUCAGAAAAAGAACCCCUACAACCAAUUUUAUCAUUUAGACCACAUCAUUUUGGUUUAGCCAAUCCUUCAAAUUAAAGAUUAGGAUUAGUACUAAUCCAUAUGUGUAAAUCAUGUCUAGACUGUUAACUUGUGCGUGGAUCCAAACAACUCAUUUCAACUAUACAAAUAUAUUAUUAGUAAUUUAGUUUAUUUUAUGCUUUUCUUGAAGAAGAGAACAUCUAUAGCUUGCUUGUGCUGGCAAUGCCAUAUAUCAAGUCAUAGCUAGAUUUAGAUGGACAAAAUUUACAUGAAAUUUUUUAAGUGAAAUUUGUAAUUUUUUUUAAAAUAUCAUUUAAUAAAAAUUUCAAUAAAAAAUUUAAAUUGAUAGAUUGAUAAGUUUAAUAUGAAACUUAAUAAUAUGUAAAAACUUAUUAAAAAUAUUAUUUAUAGUUCAAAUUUGAUUUAAAAAUUUUUAUAGUAAAAUUUAUCAAUAUUUUUAUUAAAAUAUAUAUAUGAUUAUUAAUUUUUUUUUCAAAAUUUUACUAUUUAACUUAUAUAACAAAUUUUUUAAUUUAUCAAUUUUAAAUUUAAUAAUUUUAAUAAUAAACUUCACCAUCUUUAUCUAAAAAACCUUUAUUUAAAUAUUCUCCAGUCUAGUUAUGUUGGAUGCCGCUUCAUUGUUUUUGGGCUUCUCACAUGGCAUAUUUAUUUUUUUUUGUUUCUCAAGGGGGGAUAGAGCUCUACAUUAAAGGAAAAGGGAAAAGAUUGGAGUUUGAAUUCCAACUUUGAUAUCUUUUUUAAGAUUAUUUUGACCCAUAAAACAAACAGUUAAAGACCAUGUGUCAUAAUUUAGCUUUUGCCAUUUCGGUUGCACGCCCCUACUUUUUUUUUGCCACGAAGUCCCUAAUAGUUUUUUGGCCAAUUAAGUCCCUUGUAGUUGAAUAAGCCUUUUUUAUCAUUUUCUCUUUUUUUUAUAAAANNNNNNNNNNNNNNNNNNNNNNNNNNNNNNNNNNNNNNNNNNNNNNNNNNNNNNNNNNNNNNNNNNNNNNNNNNNNNNNNNNNNNNNNNNNNNNNNNNNNNNNNNNNNNNNNNNNNNNNNNNNNNNNNNNNNNNNNNNNNNNNNNNNNNNNNNNNNNNNNNNNNNNNNNNNNNNNNNNNNNNNNNNNNNNNNNNNNNNNNNNNNNNNNNNNNNNNNNNNNNNNNNNNNNNNNNNNNNNNNNNNNNNNNNNNNNNNNNNNNNNNNNNNNNNNNNNNNNNNNNNNNNNNNNNNNNNNNNNNNNNNNNNNNNNNNNNNNNNNNNNNNNNNNNNNNNNNNNNNNNNNNNNNNNNNNNNNNNNNNNNNNNNNNNNNNNNNNNNNNNNNNNNNNNNNNNNNNNNNNNNNNNNNNNNNNNNNNNNNNNNNNNNNNNNNNNNNNNNNNNNNNNNNNNNNNNNNNNNNNNNNNNNNNNNNNNNNNNNNNNNNNNNNNNNNNNNNNNNNNNNNNNNNNNNNNNNNNNNNNNNNNNNNNNNNNNNNNNNNNNNNNNNNNNNNNNNNNNNNNNNNNNNNNNNNNNNNNNNNNNNNNNNNNNNNNNNNNNNNNNNNNNNNNNNNNNNNNNNNNNNNNNNNNNNNNNNNNNNNNNNNNNNNNNNNNNNNNNNNNNNNNNNNNNNNNNNNNNNNNNNNNNNNNNNNNNNNNNNNNNNNNNNNNNNNNNNNNNNNNNNNNNNNNNNNNNNNNNNNNNNNNNNNNNNNNNNNNNNNNNNNNNNNNNNNNNNNNNNNNNNNNNNNNNNNNNNNNNNNNNNNNNNNNNNNNNNNNNNNNNNNNNNNNNNNNNNNNNNNNNNNNNNNNNNNNNNNNNNNNNNNNNNNNNNNNNNNNNNNNNNNNNNNNNNNNNNNNNNNNNNNNNNNNNNNNNNNNNNNNNNNNNNNNNNNNNNNNNNNNNNNNNNNNNNNNNNNNNNNNNNNNNNNNNNNNNNNNNNNNNNNNNNNNNNNNNNNNNNNNUUGACUCCCCACCAGUCCAGCUGAAUCGACCCAGCUAAAUCGGCCUAGGCCGAAUUAGACUGGAACCAAACCGCUGAACCUGAACUAACAGGACUAGACCAUGCGUUAACCGGACCUUUGACCAAUCACGUUCAAGUAAAAAAAAAAUUUUUUUGAAUUUUUUUAGAUUUUUUAUAUAUUAUUUUUGUUAUUUUGAAUUUUUAUUAUUAAUAUUUAUGCAUGUUAAAAUGUUUAGAUUUACUAGAAUAAAUUUUUUGUUGUUUAUAAUAAUAAUUAAUAUAAAUAAACAAUGAAAUACAUAAUUAAAAUUUUGUGAUAAUUUUUGUUUUUUUAAAUAAAAUAAUAAACUUAAAAAUAAUAACAAAUGCAAAAAAAAAAAAAUUUAUCCGACGAUGAGAUUCAAAGAUACUCUGAGUAGUGAUGCCUACGAAAUCUUUAGGUGAAAAGAUUUUUUUAAAAUACAACCAGUGUAUUAGAGUAUUUUUAAAAGGUUUUCAAUACAAUAAAAAAUUUAAUAAAAAAUAAAAUUAACUAAUAAAUUAAAUAAAGGUGAUAAAAUAUGAGGAAAAAAAAUUUUAUCGAUGACGGGAUUGUAAGAGUAUUUUGAGUAGAGAUACUUUAAGAAAUCUCUAGGUGAGAAGAUUUUUUUAAUAUUACUAGUGUAUUAAAAUAUUUAUAAAAAUCUUCAAUAUAAUAAAAAUUUUCUUUUCUUCAAAAUUUAAAUAACUAAUAAAAAGAUAAUAAAAAUCAAUACUAAAAUGUGUGCAUCAACAUAUUAGUAUUUUUUGCAUUGCAUGCAUAACAUGGUUUUUACAAAAAUAAAUUCGAAUAUCCGAAGAUAAGAUUCUAAGGAUAUUUGAGAAGCGAUGCUUAAAAAAUCUUUAAAUGAGAAAAAGUUCUUCUAAUGUUACCAAUGUAUUGAGAACAUUUUAAGAAUUAUUUCAAUAAAAAUGUUCUAAUUUAUUUUUCUCGAAUAAAAAAAUGAAACAUUAAAAAAAAUUAAAUAAAUUAAAAAUCAAUUUCUAAUAAAUAAAAAAUCAAAAAAAUAUUUCGAAUAUUUGAAAAUAAGAUAUCUUUUAUCAAAUCAAUAAUAACAUAUAAUUAAUCGGUACCGUUUAAAAUGGAUGUUGUGAAUGUAGCUAACUCUUUCUCCACACGGUAAUCGACUUCUCGAACUCAGACUGUUGUGUAACUCUAAAAUUAUCCUUUUAAUAAUUUUAAUUAAUUUUAAAAUUUUAUUAAAAAGAUAUAUUUUAAUGGAUGAUCAAUCGUAUCUAAUUAAAAAAGAUUGAUGAUAAUUUUAUUUUAUUUAUUUUAUUUUUAAAUUUAUCAAUGAACACAAAAUUAUUAUGACAGUUCUCUUUAAUUCUAUCAUGCUCUUUUUUAUCUCAAGAGAUUAAAAUUUUAAGAUACAUAUAUAGUAAUACUUAUUCAAUUUGUAACUUUGUUUAUUAUAUUAGAUCAAUUCUCCGUAUAGUAUUCCAAUCUUAUGUAAUCUUUUCGAGUCUUCUUAGAAUCAAAUUAUUAAGUUAGAAAAGUGAAAAACUUAAUGUGAGGGCCUGAAAGGUCAGAUCAAGCUGGUCUAUUGUGGUCAAAAUCAAAUUAUUGAAGCUGAGAUAAGCAGUGGCGUGGAAAGGUCAGAUCAAACUGGUCUAUCGUGGUCAAUAAUCAAAUUAUUGAAGCUGAGAUAAGCAAUGGCUUGCUACAAUUACAAGAUUAAUAAUCGAUAUUUGAGAUCGAAUUUAAUUCAAAAUUUAAGAUUUAAAAUUUAAUACGAAUUUGAUUAAAUUUUAUUUUUUAAUUUAAAUUUAAUUUGAAAUAAAAAUUAAAUUAUUUAAAUUUAUUUAAUAAAUAAAAAUAAAUUUAAUUAUUUAUACUUCAAUUUAAAAUACUUUAUUAAUUAUAAUAUAUUAAAUUAUAAAAUCUGAAUUAAACUCAUAAAUUAUUUGAAUUAAAUAUAAAAUUAUUUUAAUUUAAUUUAAUUAAUAAAUAAAUUAUUCAAAUUUAAAUUUAAUUUAAUAAUAAUUAAAUAAAAUUUAAAUUUUAUUUUAAUCAAAUUUAAAUAAUUUAUAAAUAUUAACGUAUCAUUCGUAUCUCUAACAGCAACUGCCGAAGAGCAAAUAAUUUUUUCCAAAGUGAACUUUCAAGACAAGUGGAAUAAUUAAUAGCAUUCCUACACGACAAAUAGAUAGAUCAUCACUCCCUGUCCCACCAUCAGAUUAAGAUAGGGACAGCAAUAUUGAGAUUGAUUGAGAGAGAAAUUGCAAGUAACUAGGUUUGCGCUCCGCUGCACAAUGCAGCUUGCGUGAUAAUUUUUUUUAUUUAAAUAUUUUUAAUUUUAAGAUGUUUAUGUUUUAUUUUGAUUUCAUUCUUCAACAUACCGUUUGUUCUUUUAAAGUCAAUUUUUUUCACUUCUCUUUUUCUUUUCUCCCUUUAAAAUUGAAGCUUCUCUAUCUAGGCGAUUUUUAAUUAUUGGAAACUGUGGUGUCAACUCCCGUCCACCGUCCGCAUCGGAGCCCUUUCAACCUAAAAUUUCAUCACAGAUUCUCCUCAAUUUCCUCACUAUUCCAAGCACUGAUUUUUCAAAAUUAGUCCUUAAAAAUGUAGAUUUACAACCCAAGUCACGGCCUAAAAAUCUCCUGUAACACUUACACUCGCCACUCCAAAAAGCCCCAUCUCUUACUAUUUUGUCCUUAUUCCUUGGCUUCCAAGGUAAUGAUGCUAGUUGUUGUAUUAUUAUUAUUUUUUAUGUUAUGUUAUUUUAUUUUAUUUUUUGUUAAGUGGUAGAUUUUGAUUUUUUUUGGUUAGUGGUUGAGUUUUGGAUUAAUUGUUAGCUGAGUGUACAUACAUCGUUGGUGGAAGUUAAUGGUGGUGUGGGUAUGGAAGAUUUAGAUUUCAUAUUAAAAAUUUUGCACAUAUAUAUUUGAUCUACAAAGAAAAUUUGAAGAUUUAUUUUUUAUUUUUUUCUUACAUUUUAAAUUUUUUAGUAAUUAUAUUUUAGGGUAUUUUAUUUUAAUUAAAAAGGUAUAAUAUUUUUUUUAUUUAUUGAAAAAAGUGUCAAAUGAGUUAGUUUUAAUAUAUAAUAUAAAUUUUUGAAUGUUCAAAUUAUUCAAAAGUAAUUGAGAUUUGAACUUUAACAAUAUUUAUAUUUUAUAAAAUUAUCUAAAAAAUUCUUGUAAUCCUUUCUAAAAGAUGAUUUUCGACAAAUUUAAAGUUUAUAAUUUAGCAUAUGCAUUUUUUUUCAUUCAUAUUACUUUUAGAUUGCGAUCUCAUUUAUAUAAAAAAAUUAAUUUUAUUAUAAAAAAUAAAAUUAUGUAAAAUUUGAAGUAAAAUUAUUUCCAUCCGAAUCUUAUAUAACAAUUUCAUUUUUUAUUAUUUAAUAUUUAUAAUAUCUAAAUUUAUUUAAAUAUCUAUUUAAAUUUAGUAUCACUAACUAAAUUUAAAUCUAUUUAAAUAAAUAUUAUUCAUUUAAAUAUUUGAAUAUGUUAAAAUAUUUAUUUAUUUAAAUUUUUUAUCAAGGUAUAAAAUAAACAAGAAUUAAAAUUAAAAUUAAAAUUCACUCUUAACUAAUAACGAGUAAAAGUUAUUUAUUAAGGUUGAAAACUUUCAUAAAUAUAAAAUUUUAUAUAUUUUACAUACGAAAAUGAAUAAUGGAUUCAAAUAUCUAUUAUUAUUUAUUAAAAUCUAAAUUGAUUCAGAUAUUGAAUACUUAGAUAAAUUAUUUAUAUACUAUCCGAAUUUGUCAUGGAUAAUAAAUUUUCUAUCCGAAUUCAUUAAUUAUUUAUUUUCAAUUAUCCAAAUCUAACAUAAACUAAUUGCGUAAUAACAGAUUUAUUUAGUAUUUAUUACAAACUCCAUUUUCCAGACAUUUUUAAUAAGUGUCUAUAUGCUGGCACGUCACUUUUCCUUCCUUUGCCUAUAAAUUAAAGAGUAAUGACAAACUUAUUACCUGUACUAAAUGCGAGGGAACUCAUAGUAUUGAGCACAUACAUUCUAUAAAGCAAACAAGGAUGGAAGGCCGAGGUCUAAGAGGAGGAUGCACCGCCCAAGCUCCUCUUCACACGUUUGAACCCCUGCAGCGGACGGCCUUGAACCGCGUAUUUGCGGUGGUUUACUCGUGUGCAAUUAUUGCUCUACUCUAUCGCCAUACGCAGAUACUUCUCUACUCCACAACCUUACUCUCUUUCUCUAUGACACUGUCUUUGCUCAUCUCAGAUCUUGUCCUUGCCUUCAUGUGGGCGUGCGGACAAGCUUUUCGAAUGCGCCCAAUUCGUCGUAAAGAGUUCGCUGAAAACCUCAAAGGAAUCAUGAAAGAAGAAGAUUUUCCAGGGCUGGACGUGUUCAUAUGCACGGCUGAUCCUCACAAGGAGCCACCAAUGAAUGUGGUGAACACAGCCCUCUCGUUGAUGGCUUAUGAUUAUCCAAAAGAGAAGCUUUCCGUCUAUGUAUCAGAUGAUGGAGGGUCAGCUUUGACUCUCUUUGCUUUCAUGGAGGCUGCUAAGUUUGCAUGUCAUUGGUUACCAUUUUGCAGGGAGCACAAUAUAAUGGAUAGGAGCCCUCGAGUAUAUUUUGCGUCUAAUUAUCAUUCUUGGAGCCCAGAGAUUGAGGAGAUUAAGGUAAUUAACACACUCAAACACUUGCUAAUUCUAUCUCAAAAACUUUAAUUGACUGACUUUCCAUGCCUAAUUUUUGUACAAAAUUAUAUUGAUAAAGUAAUUUAAUUUUGGGUGUUCACUAUUACUUAUGUCUAACAAUAACAGUAGAUAUGCCAGUAAGUUUUCAUAUACAAUGGUAGAUCUAGAUUUUUUUUUUUUUGUGUGUCCACUCUUUACGGUGAGUGUUUGUUGAAUGUUGGAUAUUGGUUGGCUGUGAGCUAUAAUUGAGUAUUGAGUAGUAACAGUAAAUAGAAUGGUUAAAGGAUUUAAAAAAGAUAUAUUAUAAUUUUAAGAGUAUUAAAAAAAGUUUUCAAUUCUUUUUUAAUUUUUAAAACUUUGUGAAUCUCCAUAAACACUUUUAAUUUUAUAUUUGCAACUACCGCUAUUUUCGUAUAUCCAAAUUAAAUUCCUGCAUGGACAAAAAAAAAAAGGUAAAGUUGAUUUUUAAAUCAAAUCUAAUUUUAUAAUCAUCAUGAUCAUAAUUAAUGCAUCAUUAAUCUCAAAAGUGCUAAAUAUAGUCCACAAUAAAUAUUGAAAGAAAGAAAUUAAAGAAUAUAUAAUAAUAAAGGGGUACAUGGAAUGUACGUACCAUAAAUAUUGAGAAAAGGAAAUUAAAGAAAUAUAUAAUUAAGGGUGGAUGGAAUCUAGGAGCUGACUCGUGAGAUAAACUAGAAGAUUAUAUAUACUAGGAAGCCAAUGGUCGGUCCUAAUCUAAAUAAUUAAAUUACAUUUAAAACAAAUUAAACUCCCUCAGUUUCAUUUUGUUUGGGUGAUUGAUUUUCGUGAAAUUAAAAAAAAAAAAAAAAAGAGUUUGAUUUUAGACUAUUUAAAUUAAAAUUAAAAUUAUAAAAUCAAAUUUUUAUGAUUUUAAAUGUCAAAAAAGCUAAAAAAAAUAUAAAAAGUAAAAGUUUAGAUAUUCAAAAAAGAAAAGAAAUUAUAAUUUUGAGACAUCUAAAAAAGAUGAAUAAAGAAAAUGAAACGGAAGAAAAAUGUGAUAUUGAUUAAUAUGAGCUUAUAUAAAAUAAUGUAACUGAUUAUAAUUUAUAUAUUAAAAAUUAAUGAUGAAAUUACUAGUAUUCAUCAUUAUGUAUAUAAAAAAAAAAAAUCAAAGAUGAAGUUAAGUUAUAGCAAUUUAUUAACAGAUAAAUAUAUUAAACUCUUAAUUUGAAUAUAAUUGAGAGAUUAAAAAAGAUCAUGUCUUAACCUAUGUUUCUAGGCAUUAUUAAGUAAGCAUUCUUAGACAAUUUAUAUGUUCAGUUAACUUAAGAAAAAUAAGAAAAACUAUAUUAGCAGUUAAAUUAAAUAUUUAUUUUUGAUAAAGAGAAGGCAAUUAAAAAUAAAAAAAGUUACAUAUAUCAAAAUAUAAAUUUGAAAUUUAUUAAAUGUUAAUUUUUAAAGGUUUAUGUAUGAAUCAAUUUUUUAAUCUCGAAGUUCAAACCAAUCAAAUAUUUGUGUUAAUUUUAUAUGUAUAUACAUUUUGUUUCUGUAAAAGUUGAGUUUUAAUUUUUUUUUUUCAAAAAAAAAAAUGUUGCAUCUUACAGCUUUUCUCUGACAUGUUUGAACAUUGGACCACAUAUGAAAUAAUUUUCGAUGUGUCAGUCAAUUAAUUAGGGCAGAUUCAGACAAAGAACCCCAACAACCGAUUUUGUCAUUUAGGCCGCAUCAUUUUGUGUUUGUCAAACCUUCAAAUUAAAGAUUAGGAUUAGUACUAAUCCAUAUGUCUAAAUCAUGUCUAGACUGUUGACUUGUGCAUGGAUCCAAACGACUUAUUUCAACUAUACAAAUAUAUAAUAUAUUACUUUUCUUUAUUUGGGGGGUAAUAUAUAUAUAUAUAUAUUAUUUUCAUGCACCUAAAUGUAUCAAAUGUAAAUAGAUGCUUAUAAGAUAUAAUUUGGAAAGUUUUUUUAUUAUUAGUAAUUUAGUUUAUCUUAUGCUUUUCUCGAAGAAAAGAACCUCUAUAGCUUGCUUGUGCUGGCACUGCCAUGUAUCAAGUCCUAGCUAGAUUUAGCUGGACAAAAUUUAUAUGAAAUUUGUUUAAAUAAAUUUAUAAAUUUUUUUAAGUGAUUUAAUAAAAAUUUUAAUAAAAAAUUUAGAUGGAUAGAAUUUAAUGUGAAAAAUAAUAAUAUAUUAAAAUAUUAUUUAUACUUCAAAUUUAAUUGAUACUUAUUUUAUGGUAAAAAUUUUAUCAAUAUUUUUAUUAAAAUAUCUAUUUAAAAUAUAUAUAAAAAAUAUUUAAAAAUUUUAAAUUACAUAUUUAAUUUAUACAACAAGAUUAUUCAAUUUAUCAAUUUUAAUUUUAAUUUAAUAAGUUUUAAUAAUAAACUUCAAGAAUUUUAUCUAAAAAAUUUUAUUUAAAUAUUUCUUUAUGUUGAUCCAUUUAUUGUUUUGGCUUUGCUCAUGGCUAGUUUAGUUUUUGCGAUUUCGCUGCAAGUUCCUUUUUUUUUUUGCCACUAAGUCCCUGGGUAGUUUUUUUUUGGCCAAUUAAGUCCCUUGUAGUUGAAUAAGGCUUUUUAUAUUUUCUCCUUUUUAUUUCAAAAGGAAAAUUAAAUUAAAAUUAAAAUAUUUAGACACUUUAAAGGAUAUGUUUGAUAAAUAGAAUGAUGAAGCCCAUAAAAUGAUUAUCUCAUUAUCUUAUUGUUGAUUGCACACAUAAAAAAUUAAAUUCUCUUUUCCAAAUCAUCAAAAAUAAUUGGCUGAUUAUAUCGCGAUUAAUAUAAAUAAUGAUUAUUUUUUUGCAUCUUGUAUCUAUUUCGAUCACAAAACCUCUAUGCGAUGUGUUUAAAAUAUUUAGAUUUUUUUAAGAGUCAAAGCCUGCAAUAUAUAUGAUUGUAAUAAUUAGAUUUUGAUUUAAUUUAAAUACGAUAUUUAAUUUAAUAUAAAAAAAUACAAAACAUAUAUGCAUUUAAGAUUUUUAAUAAUAAUUAUAUUUAAGAUUUAAUAAAAUCAAAAAUAUAUUUUAUAUUUUUAUAACAAUACAAAUCUAUGGCAUAUAAUUUUAUAUAAAAUAUAAUAUAAAUACAUAAAUUUUUAUAAUUAAAUCUACAUAAUUAAAAAAAAGCUAAAAUAAUUAUAUUUCAUCACUCAUAUCUUAUCUUGUAGGAAUUAGAUUUAAUUCGAUUUUUAAUUUAAAUUUAAUAUAUAAAUAUAUAAUAUUUAAAUUUCAUUUAAACCAAAUAAAAAAAUUAAUUCAAAACAAAUUAAACACUAUAACUUUAAAUUUAUUGAAUUUUUUCCUCGAUUGUCUGUCUUUUCUAGUACCCUUCAAUAGAGCAUCUAUCGUCAUAAUGUCUGACACCACUGAUCAGUGCAAGUGGCCAAGUUUGUUGAAGGAUACUUUCUUUUCUUUUCCCAACUUUAUUGUUCAAACAUUUCCAACUAAAUAAUUUAGGAAGUCAUUAAGAAGAUAUCAAAUUAUAUAUAUAAAUAUAUAUAUAUAUAUAUACACACUAAACAAUAGUAUCAUUUUCAUUCUAAUUUGGAAUUUUUUAAUAUAAAAAAUUCUAUACGCCACUUUAUUACAAAUUAUUACUUAAAUCACCAUGUGAUUAAUGGCACCUGCCCUGAAUAGCUGGUACAAACCUCUUAAAUUUCACCCUUACUGCCCACUUAUACAGAGAAAUUCAGCCUUCGACUGCCCAUUGCCAUCAUCACUACCCACACAAGAAAUGGAGGUUCUAAGUCGGAGAGAGCACUACAUCACCCCCCUGGCACCCAUCGAUACUCCUCUUCACACCGUGGAACGCCUCCCACGCACGGCCGUGAACCGCGUCUUUUUGGUAGUUUACACUUGCGCCAUCCUAGCUCUACUCUACCGCCAUGCACAAACACUUAUCAAUUCCACAACCUUAGUCUCUUUCUUUAUAACCCUCUCUUUGCUUGUCUCUGAUCUCAUUCUUGCCUUCAUGUGGGGAGCUUCACAAGCUUUUCGCAUGUACCCAAUUCAUCGUAAGCAAUUCCCAGAGAACCUGAAAAAGAACGUGACGGAGCAAGAUUUUCCAGCGUUGGACGUGUUCAUAUGCACGGCUGACCCUUACAAGGAGCCGCCAAUGAGUGUGGUGAACACGGCUUUGUCCUUGAUGGCUUAUGAUUAUCCAACGGAGAAGAUUUCGGUGUAUGUAUCGGACGAUGGAGGAU